Molecule: long non-coding RNA, 72282 nt
Filed under: Eucalyptus grandis
Lineage: Eukaryota; Viridiplantae; Streptophyta; Magnoliopsida; Myrtales; Myrtaceae
Description: long non-coding RNA (EGRA_LNC006675)
Source: RNAcentral
UCUCUCUCUCUCCUUUCUCUUCUCUCUUCUCCCCUUCGUGAUCGAACCCCCUUCUUCUUCUUUCUUCUUCGGGCGAGCAGAACCAGAAGUGGAAGAAGCCGAGACAGCAGCCCGUCGCCCAUCGCCGCCGCACCGGAGCUGAACCGCCCGCGUGCCGCCGUGCACCGCCAGCUCCGUUCCCUCGCACCAGGCGACCUCCUCGAGCAAACCAGCCUCUGUCCAGCUCGGUUCUGCUCCGACCAGCCACCUCUGGCCACCGCCUAGCCCCGCCGGACUUCCCCCGGCGUCCCCCUCGCCCUCCGCCGGCCUCCCCUUGCCGCCCUAGCCGCCGGACGAGCUUCGUUCAGCCUAGAACAGUGGCUGGAAAAAUGGGUUUCCAGCACUGUUCAAGGCCGAUUUGGGCCGUUUCCCGGCCCCGAACCCGAGCGGUGCUUUGGGAAGAAUUGUUCCUCGCGUCGCCGCCGUCGGAUUGAUCCGAUUUGGUGAGUAAUCUCACUAAUCUUGGAUUAGUUGGCUAAUUAUUCUUAAGGUUGGUUUAGAUUUAAUUAAUUAUGUUUAGGUUGUUAGAUUAGAGUAAAUUAGCAAUUAUUAGUCAAUUGUGAUGCGAUUUAGAUAAAUUGAUUGUGCAAUUAGCAAGUAGACAUGGUCUACUAAUUAUUGGAAGUGCCUCGGGAUUUUUCCCGACCCUUAGUGGGCUCCAAUUAGGCUUUUCGGGCCUAAGUGGAUUUUUUUAGUAUUUAAAUAUUAAUUUUCGGAAAUUAAUUAAAUAAUUAUUUAUUUUCCGAAAAUUCAAGGGAGAUGGUUCGGAACCGGAAUAUUAUGCGGAUGACUGUGGUGAAGUCCGUUUAUUUAAUCGGGCUUUAAUUUGAGCUAAAUGAGAUUUUUAAUAUUAAUUAUUUAAUAUUCGAAAUUAAUUAUUUAUUUAUUUAUUUUCCGAAAAUUCAACUGAGAUGGUCUGGAACCGGAAAAUUAUGCUGAUGACCGUGGUGAAGUCCGUUUAUGUAAUCGGGCUUUAUUUUGAGCUAAAUUGAAUUUUUAAUAAUAAUUAUUAAUUUUCGAAAUUAAUAAAUAAAUUAAUUAUUUUUCGGAAAUUAAGAUUUUGAUGGCCGACGACCGAAAUCUCGUGCUGAUCGUCGUGGCGCAGUCCGUUUAUUUAUUUGAGCUCCACGUUGUAUGGAAUUGAAUAAAUUGUGAUAUUUUAGGGAUUUACCCUAAAUUGAUUGGAAUCGAUUGAGAUUGAAUUAUCGAUUGGUGAAUGGCCAAGUAUGUUUAUUCAGCAUUUAUAAUGCUUUGUUGAGUUAAUUUAAUUAUUUGAUUGAGUAUUGAUUGGUGAAUGGCCAAGUAUGUUUAUUCAGCAUUUAUAAUGUUUUGUUGAGUUGAUUUAUUUAUUUGAUUGAGAAAUCGUUGGGCAUUGGUUGUCGAUAUUGAAAGUGAACUGGUAACCACUGCAAAGAGGACACGUGGGCUUGGUGAAUUGGAAUGUCACCUGGAGAAUGCACGUGAGUUCAGUGGUUGAAUAUGUCACCUUGGCGAAAAGGUCGCCUGAGAGAAUGCACGUGGCUCGGAGACUCGGUAUGUCGUCUUGGAGAAUGCACGUGGCUCGGUGACAGGAUUUGGCAUCUAAAAGGACACGUGGCUCGGUGAUCCGAUGCGUCACUUUGGUAAGCGAGUACCUUAGAGAAUGCACGUGGGUCCAACAUUCCGGAAUGGCAUCUAAAAGGGCAGGUGGCUCGGUGAAUUGAUGCAUCACCUUGGUGAGAUAGCACCUUAGAGAAUGCACGUGGGCCCGGGCAUCGUAAAAAGGACACGUGGCUCGGUGGCUUGAUGUACCACCUUGGCGAAGAGGUCGCCUUAGAGAAUGCACGUGGGUCCGAGGUUUGAGGCACGUGGACUCGGAGACUUGGAAGGUCAUCCUGGAGAAUACACGUGGCCUAGCUUUUAAAUAUCCCACAGUGGGGAUUGAUUUGUUGGAAUAUAAUCGACUAGGUCGAUUUGAUCGAUGCUUCGAUCGGUGAUAUGAUUGCUUGGGUGCCUAUUAUGAAUUGUACUGACUUGCAGGUGAGAUCUGAGGCCAAGGUAAGUCCUUUGCCCUGUGCGUGUUUAGGCAGCCUUUAGUAUAAUAGUUUAUCUAAUCGGGCUUAGUGGGGUAGAACUCGCUGAGACGUAGUCUCAUCCCAGUUUGGGGAAAACCAUUUCAGGACCCCGCUGAGGAGCUGAGGAGGAGUCUGAGAAGGAGAACUCGGAAGUGAAACUUAAGGAGAAAGAUUUUUGGAAGAAGAAGAUAAUCCUGAGAAGGGCCUUGAGGACGGCCCAGGUGGACUGAGAUGUUAUCUUCUUUGAUAUCUCCAUUUUGAUGUGAAUAGAGUUUAGAAUAAAAAGUUGUGAAGUGUUAUGGUUUGUGUUUUGUAUAAAAGUUGGGUUAUAAAUUUCAAUAUGAAAAAUAUGGCCCUGCUUUUCUAUCCCAUCGUUUUAUUGUCUGGGGAUUUUAACUGCUUCCGCAUGUGCUUAAUAAAAGAAAGGGUCGGCGAUACAUUGUCCUGGGAUAUCGCAUUAUAAAAUCGACCAAGGUAGAAGGAUGUGUGCGUGCCCGAGGAUCGGGGCGUGACAUUGUGACUGAGGCUAUGAACCAGCAACUCAUUUCUGAUGUUACCCGAGAGGAAGUUAGUACUGCUCUAGGAAAAUCCCGGGCCCCUGGCCCCGAUGGUUUUAGUGGAUUAUUUUACCAACAAUAUUGGCAUAUUUUAAAAGACGAUAUAUUUUCCUCGGUGCAGCAGUUUUUUCAUUCUGGUUUAUUACCCCCUGAUCUCAACAAAACUAUCAUAACUCUCAUACCGAAAGUCCCUAAUCCAAAAAGUUUGGAUCAGUACCGACCCAUUAGUCUCUAUAAUUUCGCCUAUAAGAUUAUUUCUAAGGUGUUAGCCAACCGACUAAAGCCUUUCCUGCCUGACAUCAUCUCUAUGGAACAAAGUGCAUUUGUCAGUGGUCGUCAGAUAUAGGACAACAUUUUAAUUGUGCAGGAGACUCUACAUCAGCUUAAGACACGAACCAGAAAGAAAAAAUUCCAGGCUGUGGUCAAGAUGGACAUGUCUAAAGCCUACGACCGUGUUGAGUGGGACUUUCUCAAAGACUAUCUAUCCAGGUUAGGUUUUCAUCCAAUGUGGGUUCAAUGGACUAUGCAAUGCAUUACUACUGUUUCCUUCAGUGUCAAAUUUAAUGGCACUUAGUUACAAUAUUUCCAACCAUCAAGGGGGAUUCGACAGGGGGAUCCUUUAUCACCUUAUAUCUUUAUUCUAAUAGCAAAUAUGUUAAGUACUCUCAUCCAUCAAGCUCUCAACAUGGGUAAUCUGAAAGGUAUCCAAUUUAACAGUUGCUGCCCUACGUUAACUCACUUGUUUUUUGCCGACGAUGCUAUAUUCUUUGUAGAAGGGACACGACAAGAAUGUCAUGAGUUAGCUAAUAUUCUUAACCAGUACUGUAUGGCUACAGGACAGAUGAUAAAUCGAAACAAAUCUGGCAUUUUCUGCAGCAAAGGAUGCCCCCCCUGCUUCAAGAUAACUUAACGUAGGAACUUCGAAUCCCAAUCUUAACUAAAACAGGAAGAUACCUUGGGAUACCGUCAGAUUGGGGCAAAUCUAAAAAGAGAAAUGUUUGCUUGGAUACUAGGGAAAGUCAAUACUAAGCUAGAUGGGUGGAAAGAGAGUCUUAUUUCGAAGGGUGGUAAAGAAGUUCUCAUUAAAAGUGUUGUGCAGGCAAUACCUCAGUUUGCUAUGUCAAUAUUCAAGAUCCCUGUCUCGCUGUGUAAGUCUAUUGAAAAAAAGAUAGCAAGAUUUUGGUGGCAAAAUGAUAGUCGAAAAUCUGGAAUCCAUUGGAAAAGCUAGGAUGUUUUAAAAGCUGAAAAACAAAUGGGUGGCCUCGGGUUUCGUGACCUUGUGGCGUUUAAUAAAGCUAUGUUGGGUAAACAAGCUUGGCGUCUCCUAACUCAGCCUACCUCAUUAUGGGCGCAUCUGUUUAAAGGGCUAUAUUUUCAUUCAGGAGAUUUUUUAUCAGCAUCAAAAGGAACUCGCUCUUCCUGGGGAUGGCAGAGUAUCAUUAUGGGCAGGGAAUCCAUAUUACCUUCAACUCAAUGGUCAGUCGGAGAUGGAUCUAGUAUCCGGAUUAGAGAAGACAGGUGGCUACCGAAAGGGAAAAUAGGAGGUUAUGCUGCUGCAUAAGAACCUAAAAAGAUAUCUGAGCUGAUUGAUUCUACUACUAACCUCUGGAAUCUGAAUUUACUGAAUUGUUGGUAUGAUAGCACUACUAUUGCAGAAAUUAUUAAGAUUCCUCUUAGACCAGGCUUUGCAUCAGACCAGCUUAUUUGGCCGAGUACAUCUAAAGGAAAUUACACUGUUAAAAGUGCUUACACUAUUCUUAGCCAGGAGAGCCUCUGCAAUCCUAUAUCUAAACCAUCUUCUUCUUAUCAACCUCCUAACAUCUUAUGGAGGCAAAUAUGGAAACUCCAAAUCCCACCCAAAGUUAAAAUUUUCAUCUGGUCAUUAUGCCAAAAUGCCCUUCCCACUAAGGUUAACCUGUUUCGGCGAAAUCUCUGCCCCGAUCCCAUUUGUACCCUAUGUUCAGCUAAACAACCUGAAACCUCAGAGCAUCUAUUUUUAUUGUGUCCUUGGACUUCCCACAUCUGGUCUAACCCACAAAUCAACUGUCCCAUACAACCAGCAGAAAUUACACGUAUUGAAGACUGGCUAGGUACCAUACUUGCUAAUAAAAAAACAGUUACCUGGAUCUACGCUCAUCGCCAUGCUUCUGUGGAAUAUCUGGAAGUCCCGCAAUCGGUUUAUCUUUCGUCAUCAGAGUCCUGCUCCAUCCUUUGUUAUAGCUGAAGCUCACAGUCAGGUCUGUAUUGCUGCCAUCUCUUCUACUUCUGUGGAUCGACCGCAUCCAGAUCUGGACAGCUUAUGGCGUCCGCCUGAUUCAGGAGUUCUUAAGUUGAAUGUAGAUGGGGCUUUCAAGCCAGGGAAUGAUCGGGGAUCAAUCGUAUUCAUUUGCCGAGAUCAUAAAGGAAAAAUCAUUGAAGGACUUACCAAGACCGUAACCGCGUCGUCUGCUUUGCAGGUGAAAGCUCAAGCUUUGUGUUUUGCUUUCAAUCAUUUGAUCAACUCAAACCGAACCUCUGAUCCCGUGCUUAUUGAAUCUGACUGCCUGGUUUUGGUGGACGCCGUGCACGAUCCUCUUCUGUCGCCAUGGGAGGUUCGACCCUUCAUAGCCGAAGCUGCGUUUCUUCUUUCUCGCCUCGUCAAAUCGCGAUUUUCGUUUUGCCCUAGAACGGCCAAUGCUGCUGCGGAUUGGGCUGCUAAGGCCCAUGACAAUGGUUUUUUGAUGCCUUCUUGGGCUUCCUUUCCUCCGGCUCCUUUGCUCUAUAUUUUAGCAGUUGAUAUUUCUAGUUCUGGUUGUAAUGCUACUUUUAUAUAAUAUAUUACCAGUUCCUGACCAAAAAAAAAAAAAAAAUUGAAGCAAAUAUAAUGAAAUUCGGAGCUUGUGAAGGGGGGUUGGAUUUUGGCUUCAAAUUGGAGUAAUUUGUGGAUUUUAUUACAUGAAAGUAUUAUGAGAAAACAUUGAGAUAUUUAUGCAUAAAGAUCUAGGGGACAUGCAAUCAAUGGAUGGGAUAAGUGUUGACUUUAAGUCCCUUUUUCCAUGGCUUCAUGGACACGCUUGGCCGGUCUCUCUCUCCUUCAUGCGAGUUGCCCCCCUGACGGUGCGGAGCUGCUUUCACUUUCCUUGCUUCUCCUUCGAAAGAAACCAGCAUCUCCACGUUGUUCUCUCUCCGCCACCAGCCCGCUUCUUUCAAUUUUUCUCUCCGCCGACGGCCCAUCUUUCCCAGCCGCUGACACAUGUCUGUGGAGUCAACAGACCGGUGUCUCUUUCACCGAGGUUGACUGCUUCUCGUCCGCAGCGCCAGCUGCACGAAGUAGUCCACCGAAGACUUAGCUGCUUCAACGAAGACCAACUUGCUUCCCUCUGCUUGUUCGUGAGUCCAGCGAAGACCGAAGACUAGCAUCUUCGGUUUCGCUCCACUGAAGCCUUCACGUGCAUCCCGUGGAGUCCACCGAACCGAAGCCACACGAAGCAACUCCUCAGCCGGACGUGUCAAUUCCUCGGCAGCUCUCUUUGUCCGCCAUCAUCUACUCCUCUCGGCCCCAACGUUGAUGCCAGCGUGUCCGAAGCAGCACGUCCAGUGAAUUCGGCCCAGCACGUUCGCAUUUCUUCAGUCCGUGCAAGCCAGUCCAGCAACUCCAUUAAGCCCAUCAAGCAGCCCAGUUGAGUUCAGAGAAUUGAUUCUUCGGUCCAGCUUCAGCAAAGACAGGCCCGGUUCAACUUUAUUUCAAGCCCAUCUUCAGCAGGCCCAACCCAACUUUGGGCCCAGCCUGUUUUUGGCCCAGCAUCUCCAUCAAGCCCAGUCCAAGAAUUCAGCCAAGUCAGCCCUUUGAAGCCGGUGAAGCAGCCCAAGCCCAAGACCAAGCCCAGCAAUUGUUGUGGGCUUGCAAGGCUUGUGGGCCCGGUCCAAGUGUUCAUCGAUGUUGCCGAAAACUCGAGUUUCGGCUGCCGAAAACCCGAGUUUCAGCUGCCAUUGUGCAGUCGUCGUGGUGACCCAGUCUCUACUUUUAAUCAAGUGAGUUUUACUCACUAAUGCUUUCUUAGUUUGCUAAUUAUGCUUAAGAGUUGGUUAGAUUUAAUUAAGUGCAAUUAGGGGGUUAGAUUAGUUUAGAACAAUUAAAUUAGUGACUUAAUGAUGCAUGUUAGGUGGUUAGACGUAGUCAUUAGCAAUUAGAGAGCUCUUAUUAUUUAUUGAAUGCAUCUCGGGACUUUUCCCGACCCUCAUCAGACUUCAAUUAGGCAUUACGGGCCUAAAUUGGGUUUAUCGUAUUUAUUUAUUAAUUUUCGAAAUUAAUUUAAUUAAUUAUUUAUUUUUCGAAAAUUAGGUAGGGAUAGCCGACGACCGAAAUUUUAUGCUGAUUUUCGUGGCACAGUCCGUUUAUUUAAUUGAGCUUUAGUUUGUGUUGAAUUGAAUUAUUUGUGAAAUUGGGAAUUAUUCUUUAAUUGAAUAAUCUUUGGUUAUUAAUUGAAAAAUAACCAGGCAUCGGUUGAUAAUGGCAAAAAUAUUUGAGUAGACUACAAAAAAUGUGGGAGUUAUGUAAGGAAAAAUAUUAUAUUUUGGCUAAGACCGACCGUGUCUCCACACACGGCUACUUUAUCGAGAAUGAUAAAAAGAUGGAAUUGAUUGUAUGAUUGGGAUGGUAUACUAUAUUGACCUACGGACGAUAUGUCAGCUUAGCAGAUAGUAGUAUACCGGUAUAUUAUAUCAACCUACGGGCGAUAUGUCAGCUUAGCAGAAAGCAGUAUACCUUAUGAGUUUUGAUCGAGAAUGUCGGUAUACUAUAUCAGCCUAAGGGUGAUAUGGCAGCUUAGCAGAGAGCAGUGUACCUUAUCAGUUUAUAUUGAAUAUGUUGGUAUACUAUAUCAUCCUACAGGCUCUGAUAUGGCAGCUUAGCAAAGAGCAGUAUACCUUAUCAGCUUAGAUUGAGCAUUGUCGGUAUACUAUAUCAGCCUACGGGCGAUAUGGCAGCUUAGCAGAGAGCAGUAUACCCAAUAAUCUCAGAAGCGAGCUAUACUAUCUAUUUAUCAGUUUAGCAUUGAGCAGUCCUAAUAUGAACGAACUUAUAGAUAAUAUGAGAUGAGUCGACCAAGAAACGGUCGAGAUGACAUGUAAUCGACUAGGUCGAUUGAUCAUUGCUUUGAUUUGAUGUCGUGAAUUGAUUGAUUGAAUUGAAAUGACUGAUGAAUGGUCCGAUUGACAUGAAAUCGACUAAGUCGAUUGAUCGAAUAUCGAUAUGUGAUGUGAUUGCUUGGGUACCUAUUGAACUGUGCUAAUAUGCAGGUAGAAUCUGAGGCCAAGGUAAGUCUUCUGACCCGUGCGUGCAUAGGUAGCCCGGUUAGCGUAUUAGUUUACUAAUCGAGUCUUAGGGGGUAGAACUUGCUGAGAUGUGGUUUCAAUGGUUAUUGAAUAACCAUUUCAAGACCCUGAUGAGAAGCCUGAGAAGGAGGAAUCUGAAGAGGAGAACCCUAAUGUGGAACUAAAUGAGGAGGAAGAUUUUGGAGAAGAAGAUGACCAUGAGGAGGAUCCUGAGUACGAUCUGGAUGAGGACUAAGAUCCCAUCCUGUUUUGUCAGACCUUGAUUAUAUGUGGAUAGGUAUUAGAUUAGACCCCUGUGAAUAGUAUUGCAUUAUAUGCUAUGAGGCGCCUGUAUAAAAGUGUGGUUGUGAAUUUCAGUAUGAAAAUUAUGGCCCUACUUUUCUAUCCCAUUGUUUUAUUAUUUGGGGAUUUAUAAUUGCUUCCGCAUGUGCUAUUGAAAAAGAAAGGAUCGGCGAUACGUAGUCCUGGAAUAUCGCAUUUUAAAAUCGACCAAAGAUGAAGGAUUGGCACGUGACCGAGGAUCGGGGCGUGACAGUGAAAGCAAAAGAGUCACUUCCACCGAAUCUUUCCAAGUUAAUAUAAAAUCAGUUACACCUUACUUGACAUUGCUAAUCCCAAGCUAAAGAAGAUAAUUUGCAGAAAGUAAUCAUACAUUUGAGGAGCUAAUAGUACCGGACCUUCUUCCUCCUUUAUUUAAAACGAGUUCAAUUAUAAAACCCAAGCACAAGAUCAUUUUCUAGAGCUCAAGACCUCGCAUCAGUUCAUUAAUUCAAUUAAAUAAUUGGAUGCGAGUUCUCUUCUCAUUACUAUAUUAGUUUACUAAAUGAAGAUUUCAAGUUUCAAGUUUAACAUCAAAUUAGCUCAAAAAAUUAAAUUCUUCAAAUCAUGGGUGCAAGACAAAUUUGACAAUUUAUGUGGGCCACCAAAUUCCUCUCUGGAAGUGACUUCUAUCAAGCCAUUGCACGAUUCUCUUUUGGUGCUAUUUGUUAUGUCAUUUGGAAGACUGGGAAUAAUAUCCUCUUUUGGGGCCAAGCCUUGUUUAUUCUAGCUUUGAAGCAACAUCUCAUCAUAGUUGUCGAGGAAAAGACUCUCUCCUUCAACCACAUUGCGGAUACUCCAAGGAAUAAGCGGCUACAACGGUGUUGGGGACUCGAUCCCUCUAUCUUCUCUCUUGGAGCGGCGGAUCUUCAUUUGAGGACCUAAGUGUAAGUUUCCUUGUUGUUUUGAUGUGAGGGUUGCAACUGUGUUGCUGUUCCUGUUCCUGAUGUGGGUAGGACUCAGCGUAGGUGGGGGCUAGAUCCAGUUCUUCGAAGGUUGCCAUCGCUUGAUGCUGUGAGGGUUGCCGCUGUCUUGCUAUCUGGUUUCCGUUUCCUCUUUCCCUUCUUGUUUGUUGCCGUUGCUUGGCUGCUUGUUGCCGCCGUUUGGUUGCCGCUUUUUGGCUGUUUGUAUUUCCUUUUUUCUUGACACCCUCCCACUCGUCAUGACUUGUUUGUCAUUAUAAGUGUAAGUUUUUGGUGUUGUGAACCCCCUACUAUAUAGUUUUGGUUAAAAGUCAAUAUAAUUCUUACCUUACCGAAAAAACAAAAAAAGACAAAUUUGACAAUUUAUUUAUAAACUGGUGAAUCAUUAGUGGGUUCUUCAUCACUUGCUCCUCUUUAAUGUAAUUGGCGGUGAAGCUUUCCAUAAACAUAAAUCAGACGGCUGCUGUCAUAGUUCACUUGCUUUUAAUAUCAAAGCUUUUAGCCCUCGAGUUUCAAGAAUGCUCUCACGAAUUAUACGACAAAUUGCAAAACCGUAAUGCAAAAUAGUUUACAUAACUACUAGCUUAUUUUGGGGAGAGGUUAGAUAUUUAAACUUAAAUAUCUCAUAUCCUAUGAUUAUCAAAAUUAGACUUUGUUUGGAAUUUCGAAACAACCAUAUAAAUUAUUAGAACAGACUUAAGUUAAGAUGGUAACUUAGUCUAGAAUCUGUUACUCAAGUUUCACAAAUAAAUAUUGUUAAAUUACUCGAAGAGUCGAUUAUUUGGGAAAGCGUUUGGUGACUAUAAAUAGUUAAUAAGCUCCUAAAAAAAGAUGUUGGUGGAUUAUAGGAAUACUCAGCACUUCUGAAACAAUCAAAGAAACGUUGGUAAGUAGAUUCAAAUAACAAUUGGUAAUUUCUUACAAGAGUUGAUGACCUUAAUACAUCAAUAAGCUUUCACUAUGAAUCUAGGUAAAUUAUUGGAACAAUUGAUAAUUCAAAUGUACUUUGGUAUGACUCAAAUAAGAGUGGGCAACUUCAUGUAAGAGUUGGUAACUCAAGCUUCACAAAAAAAAAAAAAAAAAAAAUUGUUAAGCUAUUGAAAAAGUCAUGUAAGGUUUAAAGGUGUUGGUAAUUUUUUGCAAGUCUUGGUAACUUUAACCAGUUGGCAAUCUCCACUAAUAAAUAUCGUUAAAUUAUUGGAAUAGUUGAUACUUUUAAACUAAUCAAAUACCGACAGAAAAAUAAUCAAAUAAACUUUGGUAAGUAAUCUGAAACAAAGAGUUGCUAAUUUUGUAUAAGAAUGAGUGAUUUUAACACAUUUUAUGAUCCACAAUUAAAUGUCCUUAAAUUAUUGGAACAAUUUUUGAAAAAAAUCAAAUAAACAUUGACAAAGUAUUAAAAUAAAGUUGGUUAUUUCAUAUAAGAUUCUAUAAUUUAAGCUCUACAAAUAAUUUUUAGUCAAUUAAUGGGAGAAUUGGUAAUUUUGAAAUAAGUGGAAAUUUUGUAUAAGAAUUGGUAAAUUUAAACCAAGUCUUGAAAUAUAGGUUGGUGAACUAUUGAUAGAGGUAGGAAAUUUUGUGGCAAUUAGAUAAAUGUCGGCAAGUAGACUCAAAUAAGAGUUAGUAAUUUCAUAUAAUAAUUAGCAGUCUCACUGGUUGGUGAGCUGUGCAAAUAUAUGUUGGUAAAUUAUUGCAACAAUUGGUAAUAUCGAAAUAAUUAAAUAAAAGUGAACAAGUGACUCAAACAAAAGCCGUUAAGCUCAAGUUAUUUAAUUGGGGAAAGAUGGGUAAGUCACUUAAAUUAAAGUUGGUAAUUUUGAAUAAAAGUUAGUAGCUUACCACAUUGGUAACUUAUACAAGCUAAUAUUGAUAAUUAGGAAAACAAUUAGUAAUGUUGGAAGUAGAGAUAAACAUUGGUACUUUCAAAUAAUUAUCAAUAUUAAUAUUUAAACACCAUCACCACCGCCUUGGUGGCUGCGAUGAUUUGCGCUCUCUUUCUCUCACGAAUGAGAGGGGUUCGAAUCUCCUCACGGUCACUUGGGGUUUUAAGUGGGAUGCUGGGGGUGUUGGGUCCUCCCACUUACGUGUUCCCCCAGGUUUACUCGCCAGUUACUGGCUGUACGGAGUUCCUGGGUCACCAAAAAAAAAAAAUGAUUAAACAUCAUUUGUGAAAAGAAGAAUAAUGUCUCUUUGUUUUCUAAAUGUCGAAAAUGUGAUGACUCCCUCGGACGAUUAAAAAGCCAAGCGCUGGUAGUCGAUAAGAAGAAGCAAAGUGCUACAUUGCCAAAGAAGAUUAUUGGGGAAACAAAAGAAAAAAGCAGGCCUAAAAAAGAGAGUAAAUCUAACAUAAAUCCAACAUGUUCUUAAAAUAACCCUUGAGAAAUGUGUUACCAAUGUUUGAACGUAAAAUCCAUACCCUUAAAUCUGUUUUUAUUAUUGGUGCCAUAAGGAUGGUAAUUUCUAACACGAAUUAACAUAUUUAUAUACUAUUAUGUGGAUAAUUCGAAAGUGGGAAAAAUGAUCAAACCAGCCCCAAACCUAUUUUAAUUUUUCUUAUAAUUGUAUCAGUUCAGUCUAUCUGAUCAAAUUUGGCUGACAAGUGCUGAUGUAUCAAUUUUUUAAAUAUUUUAUUUAUUUAUUUUCUUCAUUUUCUUUUUUCUUUCUCUCUCUUUUUUUUUCUCUCUCUCUCCUCCUUCCUUCUUACUCCUGCUGGUCAUUGGACCUCAGGAAAGCCUAGCCCAACUAGGGUGAGGUUGACCUCAGUGAUCGGUUGGGGAAGAGAGAGAGAGAGAGAGAGAGAGAGAGAGGACAAUAAAAAUAAAUAAAUAAUCAAAAAAUAAAAUAAAUAUUUAUAAUUGAGACAUCAUUAUUGAUAGGAUGGCCAGUCAAAAAAUAAAUUAUAUAUUUAUAAUUGAGAUGUCAUUAUUGACAGGAUGGCCAGCACCGGCUAGUGUCCACCUUAACACUAGCCAGCCAAAUUUGAUUGAAUUGACUGAAUUAGUACAAUUGCAAAAUGUUUAUAACUGAAUUAGCUAAAAAGAGAAAUGUUUAUGAUUGAAUUGGAAAAAUUGUAAUAGAUUUAGAAUUGGUUUGGUAACUUUCCCUUGAAAAGUGACACAAAUUUAAUGCAUGCAAAAUUUAUAGCAUAGUUAACAACAAUAUAGUAUUUUCCAACUACAUGAAUUGACACAACAGCGAAAUUCAAUUAAGACACUUAAAUUCAAACUACCAAUCCUUAUGACAACAUAAUAUAAUCAUUAAUAGCAAGCAACACGUAGUUUAUGUGAUGAUCUUUUUAAACACAUAUGCUCUAUGCCACAUACACGAUAAACCUCUUUUAUUCUCUUCUCAUUCUCUCUCUCUCUUUUUUGGCCCGGGGAGGUGGUGUUUGUCUUGCUAUAUAUCGGCUCCUUUUUGUAUUUUCACUUUAUUAUCAUAUAUAUGAUGUUUGUAAUAACAUGUCUUUAUUCCGUUCUUUGUCGGGAAAAAGAAAGAAGAGAAAGGAGAAUACUUGCCUAAAUGAUAGCAUCUUCAAUCUUGAUAGUUAACAAAAGACAACAUAAAGGCUUGAGGCAUAGAUAGGAUGUGUGUACAGUGGGUCGUGAAACCUAUGCUAGAUCACAAAUAGAAAAUAUGAUAGAAAUUUAGGCUUCAUUUGUUUCAUAGAAAAUCUUUUCCAAAAAAAACAUUUUCCAAAUUUUUUUGUUUUUGUUUCACGGAAAAUGAAUUGACUUAGGAAAACAUUUUCCAUGAAGGGAAAAAAAAUCUUCUAAAAUGGGGGAAAAUAUCUUCCACUUUUCAAAUAAGGAAAACAUUUUCCUUACUCACUCUUUCUUAUCUCACACUCUCACUAGUCCCCACUUCUUCCUCUCUCUCUCUCUCUCUCUCUUUAAUGUUUUAUUUUUAAAAAAAGUUCAAAUUUUUACUCUCUCUCUCUCUCUCUCUCUCUCUCUCUCUCUCUCUCUCUCUCUCUAAUUUGUUAUUUUUUAAAAAAAAAAUUCAAAUUUUUAUUACUUUUUCUUUUUAUUUUUCUUUACGGCCAGUGAUUGGCCAAGGGUAGAAGAAGAGGCAAAAAAAAAAAGAAAAAAGAAAAAACAUAUAGAAAAAAUAAAAAAUUUAAAAAUCGAUUUUCUAAAAAAAAAUUAUUAAAAUGAGUGCAUGGAGGAAAAUCAAAUUGACUUUUCCAAAUAGAAUUGGCAGAAAAUAUUUUCAAGUUUCAACUGAAUAUCGGAAAAUAUAAUUAUUUUCCUGGAAAAUGGCUUUUUGGAAAAUAUUUUCCAAAAACGAUGCAUUUUUCAUAAAACGAACGGAACCUUAGUUAGAGCAAGUUUCUUAAAAGGUGAUGUAUUAUUAAGGAGUUAAAAAAUAUACUUUAGGAGUCUGGAGACGUAUUCGUGCAAAGCAUGGGUUCCACACCAGUAUUCAGAUGUAAGUAGUCCCUGCCAAAUUUAGCCGAAUACUUUUCUUUUCGUACCCCAAAGAUUGUGUUGAUUGUGAGAUGGAUUCCUUUGGCAAGAGCUAGCUAAGUUCGCAGUUAAUAUACCUUAUGACAUGAGUCAAACGACUUCUCACAUAAUGAAUUGAAGUUCCAUUACGAAACGAGCAUAACAUGUGAAAUCUGUUAAAGCGGCGAUUUUCGUGGAUUGAUGAUCGAGUUGAAGAAGCCAGCUUCAUGUUAUCCUCGAUAACAACAACAGCCAUAAAACGGUCGACACUUAUAUAAUUGUCGUUGAUAAGGUUGUUGUUGAGCUCAGAAGUAAGAAGUAGAAGUUUUUGAAUUCCCCUUCAAAAAGAAGGAUUUUGGAGGAUUUUAAGCUGGAGGAAGAAUCUCAAGGUGAGCAUGUCUUCCGUGAUGAUGGAGAAAUCAUUUUACAGAAAAGCGCCCCCCCUCCCUACCCCCACACACACCCCCAAAACCCAUGUUGAUCCGAAUUUAGGUACAAAUGAGAUCUAGUCACAGGAAUUUGGAGAGAUAGAAUAUCGAAAGAAGAACAGAAGAAUCAAUUAUUGAUUUCAUAAUGACAGGCAAUUGAAAAAAUCAAUCGAUGGAUCGACAUUAUAGUUCGGUUGGGAUCUUUUAUUAGAGCAAGAAAUUUUGAUUGAUUCCGUAGAUAUGGUUCCAAAUUCCAAGAGGAUUUUGGCACAUAUGCUUUAUUAAAUAACCUGACAUUUCAACCAAAAAACAAAAAAUGGGGGCCGAGAUUUUUUUUGUGAUAAUGGGAGAAUAAUGGGAGAUGCCUUAAGUUUGGAUUUACAUCUUUUAUUUGAUGAAUUUAGGAUAGGGAAGUCUAAUAUUUCCUCCUUUAAUCAAGUUCGUUGAGGAUAUUCACUAAGUAUAUUACAUAUAAGUUUAUUAUUUCUAUUAUAUUUAAGUUUUUGAAUGAGUUGAUAUAUAUUAUUUUUUAUUGGAAGAUACCACAUGAUCAAGUUGAUAUUUUAGGUUUUCCUAGGCUUUUGUUAUAUUCUCAGCAUUUCUUUUUCCGUUACUUUAUCUGGUAAUAAUUUUUAGAGAAAGGGUUACAACCUUAUCAAUUUGUUAUAUAGGAUCAUGCAGUUUGCCUUUUUCUAGAAAUAAAAAACCUGAAGAGAUUUCUGUCUGUGGGUUUUGUGCGUGUACACUUUGGGCAUUCGUGUUUGCGAGUUGCAACUCAGUGCUUUUUGUUUUCACCUCAUCAAAGUUGAAGUAGGAAAAAUAGCUAUUUGAAGGCUCGACUUCAAGCAAGACUAAAAAGAGUAGUCCAGUUCUUACAAACCUCAAGACUAGAAACAUAGAUGAUAUUGCGCAUGCGAGAAGAAUACUUAAUAGAUGAGUUCAUUACACGCAACUAAUAAGAAGAGUCCAGCUCUUGCAAACCUCAAGACUAGAAACCUAUAGAUUAUAGUUGCACACGCAAGAAGAAUACUUAAAAAGUAAAUAAUACUUGCGAACUAUUUCCGGUUCUUCAAUUCUAGGAAGUUGCCGAUUUGUCUCCCUGGGGAAUCGAUUCCACGUACUAAUCGGUCGUAGUUGCGCCACUUUUUCGUGGGGAACGCCCACGAGAGGAGCAUCACGACAAAAAGAAGCGCCGUUAUGGCGUAUCCUGCGAACUCAUCGGAUUUCGGGAGUUCAGUGAAAAGGGUAGCAAAGUAGACGACACCGACAUAAAGCGUUAACGAGUAAACAAGGUUACUGUGGGGCAAUAGGGGAGCAGCGGUCCAACAGAUUGUGACGAUGGACAACACGAAAACCGAACUGUUGAGGGCCAUGAACUGGUAUAGAUUUGAGCCGCUCAAGAUCAUUUUCCCGGCUUGAUGUGGUUUUUCAGCAGCAAUGCCGCUGGAAUUGGCAGUAACGACAGUGGAUUUGGCUCGGGAAUUUGAAGAGUUAUCCCCCCAGUAUCCUCCUGGAGGGCUGAACGCAGCUUGGUAAGUGGCGGUCGUAAUCAAGGUAGCCACGAGAAGGAUUAUAUCGCGAAUAGAUUCAUCUCGGAGGCCGUAUUUAAAUACAAAAUUCUCAUGGUAAGUUAGUUUCCUCCUUAAAAACUGUGAUAAAGAGUGGUUGGGAUCACGAGAACGUAACUCCUUUGCAAGAUCUUGAUUGCCACUACGAUUCGGUUGGUAGAUUUCCAAAGCCAUCUUAUCCUGGUAGUUCUUUGCAUUUAACUUGAUACUCCCCCUUAACAGCUUGAUGAUCUGGAAGAAAUGCAAAGGGAACAAAAUGAAGUGUUUAUCCCUUUAAGCACAAUCACUGCUUUGUCUCUUGCUUUACUGUUGUGCAUGAAAUGAGCUCAUGCCAUACAAGUUUGAGCGAUACUAGGGAUGCAAUGACCAAUGUACCAUGAGAACAAAAUCUUAUUUAUCAAAUGCAGUCAUUUCAACCCAUGUAAUGAAGUCCCAAAUGUUUUCAAAAAGUGAGAUUUGGUCAUCUCACUAGAAUAAUUAAUGUGAUAGCUAGGAAUUUGCCAUGAGAGUUGUAACAUUGGCGAAUUCACUAGAGUGCCAACCUGAACGGCUCUGAUUUUUCAUAAAAGUUUGAGACUUAAUCAAGUCAAUUAAAAUAAUCAAGUCUAUUGAAAAUUUUAGGAUUCGAUCACAUUUUGUACAUGAGUUCUUUUCACUAUGAAAAGAAAGACUACCUUAGACAAGUGUGUUUAUAUGUUUUAUACAUAAAAUUCAACUUGUUGGAGAGUAAUUUUCCCUUUCACAAAGUGAUUAUUUUAUGUUUGUGUCAGAUUGUCCUUGUUAGCUUCAAUUUCACUAGCUUCUAUCAUGUCCACUAUGUUCGGAUGAUGGAUUGAUUUUGAAAGGAGGAAAGAGAUUUUAUAGGGGUUCAAAGGGAAACAAUCUUUAUCAGACCUUUCCACUGAAAAAAACUGUAAACAAGGUGAUCUCCAUUUUACCCCUUUGUUUUCCUUCCUUUCUCGAUAUAUCCGCCAGCCAUACCAUUGUUAAGGACAAUUAAAAUGAACUCAAAUUAGAAGCAUCACCAGCAGAAAGUAUCCCCAUUAGCAAUUUUUAAAUGAAACUGUGGACUUAGUUUCGAUAAAACUGAAAAAUAAGGACAAUGCCAAUAUUCUUAAGCGCUGAAAAUUGAAACGAAAAAUUAUUUGAUAAUAAUUAGAAUUUCAUUACCGAAUAUGAUUAUCAUAUAUUAUCAGAACUACUUUAAUUGGUUCCCACACUUCUCGAACUACAUUUUGUGUACUAUUUUAGUAUUUUGCUUCGUUCGCUUUUAUUAUUUCUUGAUGGAAAAAUGGCUUUAGUAUUCAGGCAGGCCAUUAAUUGCAAAUUGUACGAUCACUCCUGAUUUAUAUGAAGCAAACCCUACCCGUUAUAAGCAAAAUUAUCUUUGGGUUGAUGAAUUUAUUCACUUAUUCCAUCUCUCACUUAACAAACGUAUGAGAGUCGAGGCAAUAGAUAAACAAAACUGUGCAUAAAUCAAUAUAAUAAUCAACUUGAUAAGGAGUCAGCAGAUCGAGACGGAACUUGAUAAGGAGUUUACAAACAUAUGACAGAUUGUCAACUUUUAUAUUAUUAUAAUUCAACAGUUAACGAUUUUCAUUCUUAAUAAAUAUUACAAUAUGAUAAUGCACUUAACAUAUGGGUUUUCACUAAGUUAAUUGGUAUAAGAUUGAGAUUGAAAUCUUUGAUAAAUUUAUUUUUAAUAUAGAGAUACCUGAAAAAUAUGGUGAUAAUAUAUAUCAGUGAUCACAAGUGAUUUAAAAAUGUGUUAGAUUUUUCCUUGUGAAGGCUUUAAUGAGAUCCAACUACCACAAUAUUCAGCUAUAAUAUGUCAGAUUUCCUAAUCAAUCAUUUUUGCUGGUCAUUUUCUUGUGUUUCUGGUGGAUCACUCCAGGCAAGUAAAUUUAUGGACACUUCUACAGUGUAAAACACCAUACCAUACUACUUCACAUGUCAAUCAGCCGAUAGACAUUUAUCAACAAAUGUUAACCAUUAAAUUAUGUUACUAUAAAACAUACCGUUGCACAAAAAGUUGUUCAAAUCUCCUCUCUCUGUAUGUUUCUAAAUCCAUGUACUUUCAACCCCUAGUGUUUCACUAUCAUAACAUUUGGUCUUGAAUUAGAUAAUGUCAAGUUCAAGGAUCAAACAAUAAAAACAAGAACAACGACAAAAUUGAUGGACCAUACCUGAGGGUGAUCUUCAGACACAGCAAUAUGUAAAACGGUGUUACCAUUUUUGUCUUUCCAGUUCAAAAUUUCAGUCAAAUAGACUCACUUAAGCCAUCCAAGCAACACCUCGAAUGCUUCGAGAUUGUGAUUCUUGACGGCAACGUGAACUGCAGUCUCACAUUGGCUUGUCAAGUCUUCGAUAGAAGAUUUGCAAGCAGAUAGAAAUUCAGCCAGGAGUUCUAGGAGCUCCACGUUAUCCUCCUCUUUGUCUCUUUUUUCCCCAGCUACAAAAUGCAAGGGAGUGAUCCCACAUCGUCCUUGGACUCGGAUCAAUUUGGGGUCAAGGGUCAUCAGUGUCCUCACGGUGUGAUAAUGUUCGUGUUGCAAAGCCAAGUGCAUAGGACUAUAACCCUUUGGAUUCAGCUUUCGAGCGAACGAUGGCUUCAAAAUGGCCAUCUCCAUGGCCACAUUGGUUUUUCCGGCAGCUGCGGCGAUGUGUAGUGGAGUAUUUGGGAAGGGGUGCUUAGAUACACGAUCUAAGAGCUCUCGCUCCUCCACAAUUAAGUUAUGUAGCUCAUCAACAUCAUCAUUUGCUAUUGCUUGUUUAAGCCAAGACUCCCUAGCAUCCUUUUCUUUUUUCUGGGGCAGACCCCUGGCCAUCUUGUUUCUAGGGAAAUGUAGGAGCAAGAGGGGCUUUGCUCAGUGAGGAUUGGUGGAAGUAACGAACUUGCAAAAUCAUAUAUUAUAUGGUGCCACGGUUAACAAAUAUUUAAUUAACUGAGUUAACAAGUCUACAGGUGGGCUCAAUGGCAAGUCAGGGGUGAGUGGGGCCCAACAUAUCUUAGAUUUGCCGUGAUAUAUGCAAUGCUUGUGAAAUGAGUGGAUGCAAUGCAUACUCAUUUGUAAAGCUGCAUUAUUCUUUGCUUGAUCUCAUAGGAGCGGUGAUUUUGCUUGCGGGAGAGUUCUCUCUCCCCUGUCAAUCCCCUUUUUUCGUCUCUUUUAUUUCUCCAUGUAAAAUAAAGACCGAAUAAUGCUCAAAGUAAAAUAAGUAAAGAAAAAGAAAAGUAAAAGUGCCACUUCCUACCAUUAACCCAUCGAAUCUUUCUCAGGUAAUAGAAAAGCUUUCCCGUCUUACUUGUUAUUGCUAAUCCCAAACUAAAGAGAUAAUUUGCAGAAUUUAAUCAUACAUUUGAGGAGUUAAUAGCACAAAACCUACUUUAAAUCAUGGAAACAAAUUCUUGACUUGUUACCAUAGUGAUUUAUUGAAUGAAGAUUUUGAGUUUCAAAUUUAGCAUCGAAUUAGCUCGGGAAAAUAAAGCUCUUUAAAACAUGGAUGCUCAACAAAUUUGACAAUUUAUUUAUGAACCGGUGAGUCACUAGUGGGUGCUUCAUUACUUGCUCCUCUUUAAUGUAAUUGGCAGUUGAGCUUUCCAUGGUCACAAAUAAGAUGCAUACUGAUAAUAGUUCACUUGCUUUUUAUCUCAAAGCUUUUAACCCAAAAUUUUCAAGAAUGCUCUCGAGAAUUAUAACUACAUAUUGAAGAACCGUAAUGCAAAAUUAGUUUACAUAGCUAAUAGCUUACUUUGUGGAGCAUUUAGUUAUUUAAAUUUAAAUAUCUCAUAUCCUAUGACUAUCAAAGACCUAACUCUAGUCGGAGUUUCGAAACAAGCAUAUCGAUGAUGAUAACUGACUCAAAUAAGAUAGUAACUUUGUUCUAGAGUCGGUUACUCGAGCUUCAGAUAUAAAUAUUGAUAAAUUAUUUGAAGCGCUAGUUAUUUUGAAAAGUGUUUGCUAUCCAUAACUAAUUGAUAAGCUCCUAAAUAAAGCAUGCGUAAACUAUAGGAAAGUUGAUACUUUUGAAACAUUAAAAAAAAAAAAAAUGGUAAGUGGGCACAAAUAAGAAUCGAUGAUUUUGCAUAAGAGUUGAUGAGCUUAAAACGUCGGUCAGCCCUGCCAAUUAAUCCAAGUGAAUUACUGGAACAAUUAAUAAUCUGGAAAUAAUUAAAUGUACAUUGGUAUAACUCAAAUAAGAGUUGGUAACUCAAGGUUCAUAGAUAAAUUUGUUAAGAUUUUGAAAAAGUUGGGUAAGAUUUAAAACUGUUAGUGAUGUAGUACAGGUAAUGGUAACUUUAUCCCAUUGGUAAGCUCCAUAUAUAAAUAUUGUUAAAUUACUGGAAUAAGUUUGUAAUGUUUAAACGGCCAAAUAAACUUUGGCAAGUGAACCCAAAUAAGAGUUGAUAAUUUUGUAUAAGUAUGGUUGAUUUUAACAGCAUUUUUAAGAUGAUAAAAAAAAUGUCCUUAAAUUAUUGGAACAGUUGGUAAUUUUUGAAAAAAGAAAACAUCGAUAACUGAUUGAAAUAAAGUUGGUAAUAAGAGUUUAUAAUUUAAGAUCCACAAAUAAAUGUUAACAAGUUAUUAAGGGAAUCAGUAAUUUUGAACUAAGUUCAUAAUUUUGUAUAAAAAUUGGUAACUUUAACUCACUGAUAAGUUCUGAAAUAGAUGUUGUGAGCUAUUGGAAAAGUUGGUCAUUUUGUGGCAAUCAAAUAAACGUCAGUAAGUGGACUCAAAUAAGAUUUGAUAAUUUUAUAUAAUAGUUAGUAGCAUUAUCAGUUGGUAAGCUGCGAAAAUAAAUGUUGGUAAAUUAUUGCAACAAUUGAUAAAUUCAAAACAGUUAAUUAAAAUUGAACGAGCGACUCAAACAGUGGUUGUUAAGCUAAAAUUAGUUGUGACUUAAUGGAAGAAAAAUGGGCAAGUCACUUAUGGUAAUUUUGAAUAAAAGUUAGCACCUUAUCAUGUUGGCAAGUUAUACAAAUUAAUGUUGAUUAAUUAUGAAAACAAUUAGUAAUCUUGGAAGUACAGAUAAACAUUGGCACUUCCAAAAAAAUGGCUGGUGAAUCAACACUGUGUUACUGGCUAAAUAAGUAUACAUAUCAAGGAUCAAUCAACAUUUGCCAAAAGAACAAUAAUAUCUCACUUUGUUUUCUCAAAGUUGAAAUCAGAAGAUAAAAAAAGCAAAGUGCUGGAAAUCGAUUGAAAAAAAGAAAAGCAAAGUGCUAAAUUUUCUUUCACAUGUGUAACGUUGGAAUUAUCAUGUCUUUAUCCGUUUUUUGUGGGGAAAACAGUAGAAAAAUGAGAAUUCUUGGAGAGAAGAAGUACAUUGCAUACUUGACUAGUUAAUUAGCUUCUUCAAUCUUUUGGCUAACAAAAGAUAGAAUAAAGGCCAUAGGCAAAGAUAUCAUGUUAGAAGUGCUAAAAGUUGUGUACGGCGCUCACUUUGGUGCCGAAAGUUUAUUUUGAAUCACUUGAGUGCCAACAAAUUUGAAAUACGAUCAUUUCAGUGCCAACGCUGAUCUAAUUAGCUAGAAAUCCGAUGCGACACUUUUUUUAUUAAUUUUUUAAACUGAUGUGGCUCGUUAGAGAGUAUAGUCAGCAUCCAAACAACAAAACAAUGACGUUUAGUGUCUCUCCCCCAAGUAAGGACCCUAAAUCCCCAAAUUGAGAGUGAGAGAGAGAGAGGCAUGCCCCCCCUGUCUUCUUCCUCGAAGAACAACACCAGCAGCGGCAAAGACACCAGCAGUGGCACCUUCGACCCCCCCUUCCAUGUCCUCCUCCUCCGCCCUCACUUCCUAUUCUUCCCAUCACUUCUUGCUUGAGCAACAACCUCAGCCUCUCGUUGCUUACCUAGUUGAGCAACUAUGAUGGUGGCCAAGCGACGGUAGUCGAGGGAUGGCGGGCGAACAACGGUGGCCGAGUGACGGAGGCAUGGGCUCCCCCCUUGUCUUCUUCCCCGAAGAACAACACCAGCAGCGGCAACAACACCAAUAGUGGCACCUUUGACCCCCCUUCCAUGUCCUCCUCCGCCCUCACUUCCUAUUCUUCCCAUCACUUCUUGCUUGAGCAACAACCUCUGCCUCUCGUUGCUUACCUAGUCGAGCAACUAUGAUGGCGGCCAAGCGACGGUAGCCGAGGGAUGGCGGGCGAACAACGGUGGCCGAGCAACGGUGGGCGAACAACGGCGGUUGACGUUGGGCAAGGAUUGGACAAAGAACCCUAAUUUCAGUCCCCAUAUGAGCUAUGCAGCAUCGUUUUUGUGAGGCUGUUCACGUAUGACGGCAAAAUGAUGUCAUUUCUUAAGGAGGAUGGGAAACGACGUUGUUUAAAAGCCACCACAACUUUUUUUUUUUAAAAAAAAUAUGAAAGCCAUGUAAUUAAUUUGGCUGGAAUCUCUCGCCAAUGACACCAAAAUGAUCGUUUUUUCUCUAAUUUGACAUUUAAGUAAUCCGAAUGAAACUUUUAGCACUAAAGUAAGCACCAUACACAACUUUUGGCACUUCUAGUGUACUUUCUCCUAUCAUAUAAUAUCAUGUAUGUACUAUCCAUGUCUUUAAUUUGUUAGGCUCCUGCCUCAUUAAAAGUGUUUCUUUCUUUCUUAUGAUGGCGUUGGCACAGGGCAAGUAAUUCAAAUCUGCCCGAGUCAUCCAUAUUUUCAGCCGAGACUAAAUUAAUCACUUGUUGGACCAUCAAUUCACAUAUUAAAGGUUCAUCCUGUUGUCUGCCCUACCACACAAAAGAAAACAAAGAAGACCAAUAGUUCACACCCAUUUUGGAAAGAGCACCUUCUCACAAGUGGACGCAAUUAUUCUUUAUGUUCGAAAAAUGAUUAUGAAUUGCUAUUUAAUCGAUCGAUUGAGAUCCUCUAGACAUAAAGUCACCACCUAUAUCUAUCUUCUUAAGAGGUUAAUACUUUACUACACAUGCUACUGGCUAUUUAAAUUUGUUGUCCCUUUUUUUAAAAAUCUUUUCCUUCGUUAUUCCUUUCUUUCCUGUUCCCUUCCCGUUACUGCCCCUCGCCCUCUAUCUCUCAGAAAACAACCCCUGCAAUAAAACCCACAUCACAUAAACCUAUUGAGAAGAUGCAACUUAUCAAAUAAAAUCUGCAUAUAACAAGUUAUGUGGAUUCAGAUUUUCCCGUCACUUGGAUAGACUGAGGUUUUUGACAGGUUAUGUGUUCAUGUUUUAAGGGUCGUCAGUUAGAAAGUGCUGUUAUAGCCGAUAGUUGCUUUGUCGACAGUUGAAGCAGAGUACAUGAUGUCAUUUGAGGCAAUCAAGAAAGUUAUUUGGCUAAGAGUUUUGCUCAAUCAUCUGGAAUUGUUGUAGGAGAAGGUUGUUAAUUACUGCAACAAUUAGAGUGCAAUACAUUUAGCCAAAAAUCAAAUGUAUCUCAAGUAGGCGAAACACAUUGGUGCCAAAAACCAUUUUAUACGUGUUAUUGUGUCAUAAGGAACCACAUUCAUUGAGAAAGUGCACACAGAAAAUAAUCUAAUAAAGCAUUUGCCAUUGACUAAGUUCCAUUACUAUUCAGACUUGGCUAGCUUCUACAAUAAGUGAGAAGCCCCAUAGGGGUUUAGGAGAAACGACAACCGGUGAUAUGAAAUUGAACUUCUUACUAAAAUGGAGAUUCGUUGGUCAUGGCUCGAAAUUAAUUCAGAUUAUUUUUGCCCAAGAAAAAAAAAUUCAGAUUGUUUUGAAAUUCGGUCUAUAAUUGAACACAAGGAAACUUAGGCCAUAUCAUUGGAGUCUUCCCAUAGAAUUGUCAGUGAUGAAAAAAAAGAAAUUAAUUUCCGCAAGACUUCUUUUCUUCAUUGAUGAUGAAGCCCACGUUGACAUCCGAGAAGAGCUUUAUGGUUGUUUUGCAUAUAGAUAAUUUUGUUGUUGAGUUUGGUCUCGGAUGCAUUAUGAGUAUGUUUAACGUAUAUGAAAAUUUGCAAGAGAUAUCAAGAGCAUCGAUAACCUUCAUCCAAGAGAAUGACAGUGCAAUAAAAUUCCUCCUUCUGUAAUUGAUUCUUGUAAGUUCAGGUUUAAGCUAGAAUUGAAAAACACUUAAGAGUGAGUGUAAUUGAACGAUUCUAAUAUCUUCUUUACUGAUUAUAUUGGAACUAUCUUAUCGAUCUCUUCCCAUAUAGUAGGCACAAAGCUGACCUCAUUAAUCCACUGUAUUCAAGUUUUAUGUAUGCAAUUUAUUUCUUACUCAAAUCUUUUUUUUUACUGUUCAUGCUUCUAUGUUAGUCGUAACAAGUCACAUCUUAAAGAUACUAUUGGACUUGGUUUAUUAGGUAUUCUCGAUUCUAUUUUUUAACAUCCAACCUUCUAUAUCUUGGCAAGUCACUUGAAAAGGUGGCUCUUAAAGACAAGACGUUGAAAGCAAAAUUGAUGAUGUUGGAUAUAGAGCAUUUACCUAAUAUUUUCUGCCAUAAUAUCUUUUUCACAUCCAACCUUCCAUUUCGUGGUAAUUCUAUAUAGUAUUUCAGUCGAUUGCUUUCAUUUUAUUUUGUAUUUUCGAUUUUCAAUCUAUCAUUGUGAAGAUAUCUCUAGCAUAUAUCGAGCUUCGUUGCGUAUAAUUCGUCAACUCAUGUAAUCCAUGUAUUUUUUAUGAUUAUUAAUUAAUCCGCUGGAAUCAAUUCAAAGACCUCUACUACAACAAACACUUGGCGUCUUCAAUCUUGAUUACUGGCAAAACUCAGGGGCCAGUUGUAUAAUAAUUGGGGUGCCCGCUAACUCCAUCUAUAGGUACCAAGCAGACACCACGAAAUUGGACACAAGAGCAAGAGGCUAAGACACCAAGUUUUUCAUCUGGGUGUGAUCACACGUAAAGUAGAUGCAUGUUCGAUCACACAAUAAGAGAGAAGCUCGACCUAAUUGAGCUCUCUCUCUCUCUCUCUGGUGUGUUUAUUGUGCAUGCAUGCUUUUGACCCCUCACCUCGGUUCUUACCCGGUGACCCAAAAAAAAAACCACCAAUCACGACCACCAUUGCGUCCUUCUGCAGCUUGUCCAAUGCGGCACCGCUUCUUAUCUUCUCCAAUUGCCUGCAACCAACAACAAAAUCACCAUCGUCACCACUGCAUAUCGCUGUCACUUCUUACAUUCCCUGAUUGCCUGCAACCAACAAAAAAAUCACCAUCACCACCACUGUGUUGGCAUCAAGAGAUUCCUCUCUAGGCCCUUCGUGCAUUUACGCUUCAGGCAUGCAUGUGUACCUAGAGUUAAGCAUUUCAUUUGUGUUCAUCGUGCAUGUGUGCAUUCGAGACCUCACCUCGCUUCUUUCCAAGUAACCUACAACAAAACCACCAUCAUGACCACCACUGCGUCCUGCAAGUUGUCCAACGCGCCACUGCUUCUUACCUUCUCCGAUUGCCUUGCAACCAAUAACAAAAACACCAUUACCACCACUAUGUAUCGCUGCCGCUUCUUAUCUUAUCCAAUUGCUAGCAACCAACAACAAAAUCACCAUCACCACCAUUGUGUUGGCAUCAAGAGAUUUCUCUCUAGGCCCUUCAUGCAUAUAUGUUUCGAGCAUGCAUGUGAGAGUUGACACUUAAAUUUUUGUGACACGUUUAAUCAUUCAUUAAUUGCAUAGAAAAAUUAGGAAUUAAUUCCUAAUUUCUAGCGACAAUAAUUUUUACUAAAUUGCAUGGCAUAUAGACAUUAGGAGCAUUUGUAUUGCUAGUAUUAAAAUUAAAAAAAAAAAUCUAGAAUUAAUUAAGAACGUUAAAAAAACUUAUCAUUAUUAUUUUUUAUUAAGAAAAGAAAAGAAAGCUAGACCUGGCCUGGGGCGGGCCGGCCCGGCCUUUUUUUCUUUUCCCUUCUUCCUCUUUCUCUUUCAGGCCCGGCCCCAUUUUCUCUUUUCUUUCCCCGGCCCGGCCCACGCACCUAUCCCUUCCUCCUUCCUCCUUCCUCCCUCACGCCAUUCCCGCGUGUCUGCGGCAACAGAGAUGUACGCAAGCAAAGGCAGAGCAGCCGUGAUCCUAGGGGCGGGGAUCAGGCUUGCCGCGGCAGGCUGGCGGUGGCGGAAGCCAUGCGCGUCUGUCGCUAGCCCUUAAAAGCGAGAGAGGGGGGCGCAAGAGAAAAAGGGAGGAGACCGGGAGUUGGUUUUGAGGGAGAGAUCCGAGAGAGAGUUCGAGUGAGAGAAACGGAGAGAGAGGGGAGAGAUAGAGAGCGCGAGUGAAGGAAGAGAAUUGGAGGUAGAGACCGUCGGCCACCGCACGGCCGACAACCCGCUGCCGUGCCUCCUUUCCCGCUCCGAAACUCCGGUAAGCCUCGACCCUGUUUUUGCCUUUUUUGGGCAUGCCGGGCCGGAGCUCGCGGCCGUCCGGCUGACGCGAACUCCGGCCCCGUCCGUCCUUCGUUUCGCUGCUGCUGUGUGUUCUGUUGUUGUCGUGGGUUCUGGUCUUCGGUCGAGUCAAAGAUCUCUUGUUUCCGUAGCAUAUACUACCUGUUCGACAAAAUGUCCGAACGAGAUCCAUAGUUUUUUCUCCGGGUAUGGUCUCUUUCGGAACGAUGGUGACACCCCGGUCAGUGAGUGCGUAGGGUUGGCUAGGAGGUGGUCGGUCCUUGGUGGCCGUCGCGGCGGUCCUCGGAGGCCUCGGGCCUUACUGUUUUGGACAUUCGGCGGCGGGGAGGUCGGCCGACGAGUGGCAGUCAGAGUGACCGCCCGAUGGAGGGUGGUAGCUCGGCUGCAGCUUGAGCUUUGGCGGAGGUUUGUCUGAGAAAAAAAAAAAUACGUAGAAGCUUCCGUGAAGGACGUCACACGAGAUGGGGAUGUCGCUUGAGAGCGGCUUGCAAGAUAACCCGACAUCAAACACUCGAGGCCGAGCGUUAUCUUUUUCUCCUCUAAUAAAGGGAGUAUGAUGUGAGACGCCUUAAGUUUGGAUUUACAUCUUUUAUUUGACGAAUUUGGGAUACUGAAAUCUGAUUUUUCCAUCCUUAAUUAAGCUGGUUUAUAGUAUAGAAUAAUUUUUUGGGGGGGUUUGGAGUGUAAAAUAAUUGAAUUUAUAAAUUCCAUUAUUUUAACUAUGUGUUAAAAUAUAAUAUUCUGAUUGGAAGAUAUCGUAGGAUUUUUUUUUUUUUAUUUGGCUAGGCUUUUACUAUAUUCUCAGUAUUUUUUUCUGUUACUUUAUUUAGAAGUAAUUUUUCAAAAAAAAGGUUGCUACUGUGUCUAUUCGUUGUGUUUUGUAGAAUCAUCAAGUUUGCCUCUUUCUAGGAGUUAAAAAGCCGAAGAGAUUUCCGUCUUGUGUUUUGUGCACGGACGCAUUGCGCAUUUGUGUUUGCAAGUUGUAACUCGAUGAUGUUCAUUUCCACUGCGUUAAAGUCUGAAUUAGGAAAAAAAGUUAUUCGAAGUCUCGACUUCAAGCGAGAGUAAAGCCUCUCAGGACUAGCGAAUUGCCACGUGUCCAUCCCUUGCAAUUAACACAGAAGAGUCUAGUUCUUGCAAACCUCAAGAUAAGAAGCAUGCAUGAUAUGCAUACGUGACAAGAGAAGUUAAAGUAAAAUAUGCAUGGGAAUUAUCUUCGAUCCUCCGAUCUUCAGAAGUUGCCGACGCGUCUCCUUGUGGCAUUGAUUUUUCUUCGGACUUGGAAGUGGUUUAGCCGUAUCAUAAAGGAUAAUCCUAAGAAGAAGUACAUUGCCACCAUGAAAAAACCCCCUAUCAAAUUUAGUCCAACAUCAUUGGAGUUCUGGAAUCCCAUUGCAAGGGAUAAAAAAUAGUUGGCGGCGAGAAUAAACAUCGAAAAGCAAGUCAUAGUAGUAUCAGGAACCAGCGGAACAGCAGCGGCUAUGAUUAUGCAGCUGGAGAUGAGAAAAGUCAUGCUGUUGAGUAAAGUGAAUAAGUAUAGACGUGAGCCGCUGAGGAUCAUCUUUCCAGCUUGAUGUGGUUUUCCAUUAGGAAUUUCAGUGAAUUGGCCGUGACGACAGUGGAGGAGGUCGGAGAAUUGAAGAAGAAUCCUGCCAGUAUCCCUCCCGAGGACUAAGAGCGGCUUGGUAAGUGGUGGUCGCCAUUAAGGUGGACCACUACAAGGAUUACGUUGCGAGCGGAUUCAUCUUGGACAUAGAAAAUGUGUUCCCAACAUGUCAUGGAAAAUUAGUCUGUUGAUAAUCUGGGGUAGAGAGGGGGCAGCAUAAAAAAAUCUGGGCAGUAGUCUUGGAGGGCGUAGCCUCUCCAUAACAUCUUGAUCGUUACGAGGAUUCACUUGGAAGAUUUCCAGAGCGGUCUCACCAAGGGAGUUCUUCGCUUGUACAUCCGUCCACUGACUUAACAACUUGAUGAUCUGAAAGAAAUGCAAAAAAGAAUAAAAAUGAAGUACGCACCCCUUAAAUCAUUGCUUUAUCCCAAGCUUUACUAUUGUGCACAAGAUGAGCUCUAGCCACUAUGACCCAUGUACAAAUGAAGAAAGUUUACUAGACCUUAUUUAUUAAUGCCAUCAUUUCAACCAAUAUAAAGAAGUCCUGGAUUUUUUCAAGAGGUGCAAUUUAGUACUUUCAUCCAGAAUUAUUUAUGUGAUAGUUAGGGAUUGCCCAUGUGAGUUGCAACAUAGGCAAAUCCACAUAAGUGGUGACUUGAAUGGCUGUAAUCUAGCAUAAGAGUUUAGGAUUUGACCAUGUCAACUGAAAAGAUUUAAGAUUCAAUUACAUUUUGUAUAUGAGAUUUUUUUUUUCUAUGAAGACAGACACUACCUUAAAUAAAAGAAUGGACCAACCUAUAAAAGCUGGAUUCAAUAUAAGGGUCGAGCCUACCUUCCUAUGACCUUGGGCACGGGAAAAUAGUCAAAAAGAGAAUAGGAAUAGAAGAUUGGGAGUGGAGUUACUACAUCCAUCCCUCGUUAUUCCUGUUCUUCUUUUGUUUUGUGCUUAACAUCAAUCCCAGCGUUUAUUUAUGUCAAAGUUAAUAUCACAAAUUUCUUUUAGAGUGAAAUAGAAAGGAUAAUUAUUUUUUGACGCUAUUUCCAUUCACUUAUACCUAAACGCAUCAAUUAUUUUCCAAUUACUCUGUACACAUUCUAAUGUACAAAUCAUAGUUCUAUUAGAUACCAAAGUACAACAGCACAUCAUAUAUUAUGUACUCCGCUCACGUCUAUUAUUUCGUGAUGAACAACGGUUUAUGCAUUCACGGAGGUCAUUAAUUGCAAAUUGUACGAUCCUUAAGAUUAUUUGAAGCAAUUCAUAUUAUUUAAAAACAAAUUUAAUUAUUGGGCAGAUGAAUUUAUCCACUCAUUCCAUCUCUCUUUAAAAUUAUGUUUUCUUUAAUUAAAUCAAACUCCAAGCUAUUUCCACAUACAUAACUGACAUAUAUAGAGAGAAUUCAAAGUGAUGCCAUAAGAUUGUGGAACCAACCACGAGAAGUCUUGUUUUAUAAUAAUAUUAUGCGAUGGUGGAAAGUUCAACAAGAGAGAAAAACGCGCACCGAUUGAGCAGGACUCAAUGAGGACGUAAAAAAACGAGAGAGAGAGAGAGAAUCAAAUCGACAAAUAUUAACUUUUAUUAUAUGUAAAUUCGAUGGUUAACAAUAAUCCUUCUUAAUAAACAUUACAUAUAAUAAUCCACUUAAGAGGUGGGUUUUUUCCGAAGAUUAUUGGCAAAAGUUUGCUUUCAUAAUAUUAAGAGACAUGAAGUCGAACAAUAUCGUGAUAUUAUAUAUUACUCAUACGAAAACACACAACUGAUUUGUAGAAGGAUGAGUAUUUUUUCUCGUGGAGACUCCCAUACGAUCUAAUCAUCACAAUAUUCUCCUAUAAUAUAUCACAUCACCCGAUAAAUCAUUUCUGUUGAUCCUUUCUUGUGUUUUUCCUGGAUCCUUUUUAACCGAGCAAAUUUCUGAACACUUCUAUAUGUUCAGCACUAUGCUAUACAACUUCAAAUAUCAAUGGUCAGAUAGACCCUUAAUGACAAAUGUUAACCGUUGAAUGAUAAAAAUACAUCAUAUAUUGUAACACAAUUUGUAGCUCGUCUCCCCUCUUUGAAUGUUUCUAAAUCCGUAUAUUUUCAAUCCCUGGUAUUUCAUUAUCAUAAAAUUUGUUCAAAAACAAGAACAACUCGGAAAAGCAAAGAACCAUACCUUAGGUUGCGGUUGCCUUGCUUUCGCAGCAAUAUGUAAAGCGGUGUUACCAUCUUUGUCUUUCCACCUCAAUAUUCUCAUCAGAUGAAAUUGCUUAAGCCAUCCAAACAAAAACUCGAAUGCUUUGAGGUUGUCGUUCUUCAAGGCGACAUGAACCACAGUCUCGCAUUGACUUGUCAAGUCUUCAAUGGAUGAUUCACAAGUGCAUAGGAAUUCGACCAGGAGCUCCAGCUCAUCGUCUCCUUUUUUCUCGGCGACGUAAUGCAAAGGAGUGAUCCCACCUCGUCCUGGAACUCGGAUCAAUUUCGGGUCAUGGCUUAUCAAUGCCCUCACAAUGUUAUAAUGUUGAUGUUGCAAAGCCAAGUGCACGGGAUUGUAACCCUUUGGAUUCAACUUCCGAGCAAGCGACGGCUUCAAGAUGACCAUCUCCAUGGCCACCUCAGUUUUUCCGGCAGUUGCGGCAAUGUGGAGAGGAGUAGUUGGGAAAGGGUGCUUAGAUAGGCGAUCUAAGAGCUCUGGCUCCUCCUCAAUUAAGUUAUGUAGCUCAUCAACGUCGUCAUGUUCGAUUGCUAGUUGAAGACGAGACUCCCGAACCUUUUUUUCUUCUUUUUGGGCUAGACCCCUGGCCAUCGUGUUUCCAGGGAAAUGAUCGAUGGAAGAAGCGAACUUGCAAAUUCAUUUAUAGGGGAGUCAACAAGGGUAUAGGUGGGCCCCAUGCUAGGUUGGGGUUAGUGGGCCCCAACAUAACUUAGAACGAUAGCUGUGCAUACUGAUAAGAUUCUCAGGAAAUCUUCAGACUUGUAAUUUUAUGCGAUACUCUCGCUCUCCCACUUUUGCUCUUUCGCUUCUCGUCACGAGAGUAUAAGAUAAACAACGAUUUAUCUAGGUAAGUGACUUUUACCACUUUUACAUUUUGCAAGAAAUGCAUAAUAUGAUUUAUCGAGAGGGAAAAACCAUACUGUAUCAUGGCCCGUAUGUUGAGGUCGAAAUGUAAAGUACCAUAUGAUAUGCUCUUUUUAAAGUUAGAUCAUAUAUUUGAUACUCUAGACCAUAAGUUCAAUUUUUGUCUAGAAAGAUUUUGGAUGAAAUGUUAUUACUAUUGGUGAUAUAUAUAUUGAUCGCAUGUUAUAUUGUGAUUUUGAUUUGAUGCUCAUAGUCAACCUACAUAUUAAGAUGUGACAUGAUGUACAUCUGCAUGGAUCAAUCUGUUUCAGGCCUUCAUCGCGCCUAACGUGUUUUUAAAGACUUAAUCGGAGUGAAGUGAUUUAUAGGGCUUAACAAUAGCGGCUUGGUUUUCAUGCCUCAUCGCCUUGCAAAGUGUGACUUCAAUGUCUUCUUGACAUGAGCAUAGGAUGAGUUUGACACAUGCUAGCUAUAUUAUAUUACAUUAGGGUGAUUGCCAAGUGGGGCUUAGACAGUGCUUUUGUCUCCAACCUGUCAAUUCCUUUUUUCCUUUUUUUUUUCUCCACGUAAAAUAAAGAGCGAAUAAAGCUAAAAGAAAAAUAAAUAAAGGAAAAAAAAUAAAGCAAAAGUGCCACUUCCCUACCAUAACCUAUCGAAUCCGAGGUAAUAGAAAAGCGUACACGCCUUACUUGUUAAUGCUAAAUCCAAACUAAAGAAGAUAAUUUGCAAUAUUUAAUAAUGCAUUUGAGAGUGAAUAGCACCGGACUUGUUUUCUCUUUCAUUUGAUACGAGUCCACUUAUAAACCUAAGUACAUGAUUAUUACCUCAAGCUCAUGACCUCGAAUUGGUUCUUCGAUUCGAUUUAAUAGAGGAAGGCAAGUUCUCUACUUGUUACUAAAAUGGUCUGUUCAAUGAAGAUUUUGAGUUUCAAGUUUAGUAUUGAAUUAGAUGAAAAAGGACCUCUAAAUCAUGGAUGCAUGACAAAUUUGACAAUUUAUUUAUAAACUAGUGAGUCACUAAAGGGUGAUUCAUCGCUUGCUCUUCUUUAAUGUAAUUGGGAUUUGAGCUUUCCAUUGUCAUAAAUCAAAUGGCUACUAAUAAUAGUUCACCUGUUUUUAAUCACAAAAUUUUUUAACCCCAAAGUUUUAGGAAUGCUAUCGUGAAUUAUACUUCGUAUUGCAAAACGGUAAUGCAAAAUUAGUUUAGAUAGCUACUAGCUUACUUUGGGGAGGAGUUAGUUAUUUAAACUUAAAUAUCUCAUAUCCUGUGACAAUCAAAAGCAGACUUUUAGUUGGAAUUUCGGAACAACCAUGUAAAUGAUGAUAACCGACUCAAGUGAGAUUGUAAUUGUGUUCUACAUUUUAUUAUCGAGCGUCACAAAGCGUCUCUUGAAACCUGUUAGCUACCUAUAACUAAUUGAUAAGCUCCUAAAAAAUGAUGUCGGUAAAUUGUAGGAAUUGUUGAUACUUUUGAAACAAUAAAAAAAAUAUAUAUUGGUAAGUGGACUUAAAUAAGAAUUGGUAAUUUCGUAUAAGAUUCGAUGAUGUUAACACGUCAAUCAACUCUACAAAUGAAUCUGGGUAAAUUAUUGGAACAAUUGAUAAUUUCGAAAUAAUCAAAUGUUCGUUGGUAUAAUAUAAAUAAGAGUUGGUAACUCAAGCUUCCCAAAUAAAUUUGUUAAGCUUUCAAAAAAGUCGGAUAUGGUUUAAAAGUGUUGGUAACUUUAACCUAUUAGUAAGCUCUAUAAAUAAAUACUGUUAAAUUAUUAGAAUAAUUUGUACUGUUGAAACAAUGAAAUAAUCUUUGGUAAGUGAACCCAAAUAAGAGUUUCUAAUUUUUUUAUAAGUAUAAGUGAUUUUAACACAUUUUUAAAAUCCUAAAAAAAGUCCAAAAAAUAUUGGAACAAUUGGUAAUUUUUGGUAACUGAUUAAAUUAAAGUUGGUAAUUUCAUGUAAGAGUUUAUAAUUUAAGCUCCACAGAUAAAUGUUAGUCAGUUCUUAAGAGAACCAUUAAUUUUGAAAUAAGUUGGUAAUUUUGUGUAAGAAUUGGUAACUCUAUCCCAAUGAUAUCUUCUAAGAUAAAUGUUGUGAACUAUAGGAAUAGUUGGUAAUUUUGUGGCAAUCAAAUAAACGUCGGUGAGUGGAUUCAUGUAAGAGUUGGUAAUUAUAUGUGAUAGACAAUAGAAUUAUUACCUGGUAAACUGCGCAAAUAAAUGUUGGUAAAUCACUACAACAAUCAGUAAUUCCGAAACAAUCAAAUAAAAUUAAUUGGUGACUUAGGCUGCGUUUGUUUUUGUUCUUUAUUUCUGUUUCUAAACAACUUUUAUGUUUUUUUGUUCCUGGGAACAAAAAAUGAACAAAAACGCAUGGAACAGAAACGCGUUUGGAUGCGUUUUUGUUCCAAAAUUGUUUUUUUGUUCCCAGAAACACAUCUGGAACAAAAACAAGAAACAAAAAAAAGUUGUUUCUUGUUUCUGAAACAAAAUUUAGAAACACUUUUUUAUUUUCUUCUUCUUUUUUCUUUCUUUCUUCUUUGGCUGGCGGCCUUGCCCAGCCACGGCGAGGCUCGCCGGCCCCCGGCGAGGCCGAGCCUUGUUGUAGCUGGGUGAGGGUUGGCCUCGCCUUGGCUGGGCGAGCUCGAGCCUCGCCGGUGGCUGUGCGAGCUCGGCCUCGCCCAACCACGGCAAGGCUCGGCCUCGCCGGGGGCCGGUGAGCCUCGCCAUGUCUAGGUGAGGCUAUCGGCCCCCGUUGGCUGGUCGCCGGAGGCCGGCGACCGGCCAAAAGAAGAAAAAAAAAAGAAAAAAGAAAGGAAAAAAAUUAAAAAUAAAAUAAAAAUAUUAAAAAAUUAAAGAAACAAAAAAAGAAUAGAAAAUCUACCAAACGUAUUUAUAUUCAUUUUUUAUUCCCAGAAUAAGUUUACCAAACACGUGUUUCUGGUCAAAAAUUGUUCCUCGGAACAGAAACACUUUUUUUUUUAUUUAUUUUUGUUCCCUGGAACAAUUUUUGAAUAGAAACGUUACCAAACGCGCCCUUAAUGGAAGAAAAAUGAAUAAAUCACUUAAAUUAAGAUUGGUAAUUUUGAAUAAAAGUUAGCACCUUACCAUGUUGGUAAGUUAUACAAAUUAAUAUUGUUUAAUUAUGAAAACAAUUAGUAAUCCUGGAAGUACAAAAAAAUAUUAGUACUUUCAAAAAACAAUCGGCAACUUAAAAAUAAGAUAAAUGGAUAUAUAUAUUGUGAAAGAAGAAUAGUUUCUCACUUUGUUUCCUAAAAGUCUGAUGACAACGCGAAAGACCAAAAAGCAAAGUGCUGGUAAUCGUUUAAAGGAAAAAAAAAAAAAGGAAAGUGCUAAAUUUGCUGUCACGUGUAAACCGUUUGUCCUCCUUGUCGGGAAAAAAAGGAGAAUUCUUAGAGAAUUACUAGACACAAAAAGUACUUUACAUCCUUGACUAGUCAAUGGUAUCUUCAAACUUGAUUAUUGUGUGAGGCGUCAGCCCCCUUAAAAGUGCUUCUUUGUUUCUUAUGAUGUUGGCACAGGGCAAGAUUUGGAAUCCAAAUAUGCUCAAGUCAUCCAUGUAUUCAGCAGACAAUAAAUUGUCGGACCAUCAAUUCAUAUAUUAAAGAUUCAAACUAUUGUCUGCCCUACGACACAGAAGAAAACAAUGAAGUCCAGUAGUUCACACCCAAUUUGGAGGGAGCACAUGCUCAGAAGUGGAAGCAAUUCUUCUUUAUGCACGAAAAACGUUUAUGAACUCCUAUCUAAUCAAUGGAUCGAUAUCCUUUGAAAUUGCGAGAUAAAGUCACAUAUAUCUAUCUUCUUAAAAGAUUAAUACUAUACUACAUGUGCUAUUGGCUGUUCAAAUUUGUUGUUCUUUCUUGUUAUCCUUUUGAUCCUGUCCUCCCAUUUUUCUUUCCGUUCCUUUUCCCUUCCUGUUACUACCCUCAAGUGAACCACCAGAGAUAAACUAAUGGGUUACUAAGUAAAUACUUAGUACGGACUCUCCCAAAUUCAUACCAAUCACAACUUUAGUGUUUUUAAUUUAAUUAAUUAAGCAAGCAAAUCAUUUUAUUUUGGAGUCGUCAUUAAUUUAUUAUGAAUCGUUAGAAAUCCAAGUAAAACGUAGAAAAAUAUCUUAUUUUGCGAACUAGAAUUUUCAUAUAUAUGGAGACUUGAUUACACUAGAUAAAUAUAAUGCUCUUUUGAUAUAUUUUAUCUUUAUUUAAAAAUAUAGUUUGAAGCAAUCUUGGUCAAUUUUAACUUUUAACCACUAACAUGUGAUGGGUGAUUACACAAGUACGUGGACAGUAAUUUAAUACUCCAUAAUCAAAGCAAUAUAUAAAUUAUUUAGUGAAUAGGAAAAGAUUGAUGUACUAAUCAAUAGUAAAUCUCCGUUAAAGACGUACUUCCAGAAAUUUUCUCAUCAAUUCCAUCAAACCAUCAAGAACAACGUCUUACUGUACUCUUCACAAAAUUAAAGCAUGAUCCAACGGUUAUUAGAUGUCCAUUUGUCGAUUCCGUGAACUGUACGCUGGAAUUGUUCUGUUGCCAAGGAGGCAAGGUUCGCCUUUUUCUUUUUUUCUUUUUUUGAACAUUAACGUCCUUGUUUGUGUAUCUGUGCCCCUUCAAUUUUGAGAGAAAAGAGUGCUUAUAUAGGCAGAGGAUUAGGGUUAUCUCAAGAUAUCAAUCAAUGCAUCACUUUCCUAUUUUAAACUAAAUAAGUAUAGUGACUUCCUCACUUUAGGAAUUUUUUAUAUCACAUUGAUAUUACCUCCAUUAAAUUAAAAUCGUCAACGAUAAUAUAUCUUUUCCUUAAAUUUAAUUAGAUAAUGCAAUCUUAAUUAGUUAGGCAUGCCCACGUGCUAAGCACAAGCAGUUUUUGGCCAUAAGGAAUAUUCAAUGGGCUUGACCAAAUUUUCAUGCUUCUGCAGGCUUAUUCCAGAUAAUUUAAUUAAGCUUGUAGUGCUUAAAAAGUCUAAAUUAAAUGCAAUUUAUGUGGGCUUUAUUAUUUAUAGAAUGCUCACAAUAAAUACAAUUAAUAACGGCUUAAGUGUUCACGCAGGCCAUUAAUUGCAAAUCGUACUCUGUCACUAUAUACGUAUAGAGAGAGAGGCCAAAUUAAUGUCUCGCAUGAAGUAUUGAUUUAAUAUUUUUAUGCGAUGGUGGGGAGUUCAACAAGAGAUAAAGACGUGUACAAAAUCAAUAUAGUGAAUUCUGAAAGGACGCGAUGAGGAGUUAACAGGGAGAGAGAGAGAGAUCAAAUCGACAAAUUGUCGACUUUUCAAUAUAACAAUCGAACUUCGACAAAAAAAAAAUAUAAUGAUGAUGAUGAUGAUGAUGCUGAUGAUCCAACAGUUAACAAUUUUCGUUCUUAAUAAAUAUUACAAUAUGAUAAGACACUCAACAUAUGGAUUUUUACUAAGUUAAUUGAGAAAAGUCUAAUAAAUAUAGAGAGGAAGUCGAAAAAUAACGUGAUUUUAUAUAUUAUUGAUCACAAUUGAUGUAUACAUGUGUUAUAUUUUUUCUUGUCGAGGCUUCAAUACAAUCUAACUAUCACAAUAUUCACCUAUAAUAUGUCACGCUCCUUGAUCAAUCUUUUUUGUUGGUCUUUUUCUUGUGUUUCUGGCGGAUCACUCCAAGCAAGUAAAUUUAUGGACAUUUUUAUAGUUUACGACACCAUGCCAUACAACUUCAAAUGUCAAUCGUCAGAUAGACAUUUGUUCUUAGAUUACAUAAUGUCAAAUUCAAGGAUCAAACAAUAAAAAUCAUAAUAUUUACAAAAUCAAUGGACCAUAUCUCUACCUUCAAGAUUUGUGUUAGAUGGACUCGCUUUAGCCAUUUAAGUAAAACCUUCAAUGCUUUGAGAUCGUGGUUCUUGAUAGCAACGUGAACUGCAAUCUCACAUUGGAUUGUCAAAUUUUCGAUAGAUGAUUUGCAAGCAAAUAGGAAUUCGGAUAGGGGUUUCGAGAGCUCCACGUUCUCCUGCUUGUUGUCUCCUCUUUUUUCCCUGCUACAAAAUGCAAACAGGUGAUCCCACCUCAUCUUCAGACUUGAAUCAACUUCGGGUCAGGGUUCAUCAAUGUCCUCACAGUGUGAUAAUGCUCAUGUUGCAAAACCAAGUGCAUUAGGCAUUACCAAGCAAAUGACGGCUUCAAGAUGCCCAUCUCCAUGGCCACAUCAGGUUUUUUUUUUUUUUUUUUUUUUUUUUUUUUUUUUUUUAUGGCCUAGGUAAUGUGUAGUGGAGUGGAUAGGCAAUCUUAAAGCACUCGCUCCUCCGCAAUUAAGUUACGUACCUCAGCAACAUUAUCAUUUGUUAAAGCUUGUUGAAGCCAAGACUGCCUAGCCAUUCUUUGUUCUUUUUUGGCCAGACUCCUGGCCAUCGUGUUACCAGGAAAAUGUAGGAGUCGAGGGGGUUUGAUUGGGGAGGAUCGGUGGAAGUAGCAAACUUUGGAAAAUCAUAUAUCAUAUAGUGCCGUGGUCAACGAAUAUUUAAUUAGCUGAGUCAACAAGUGUACAGUUGGGCCCAGUGACAGGUUGGGGUGAGGGGGGCCCAACACGUCUUAGACCGAAGCGUAUUGCGCACUGGUCAGAUUUUUAGGAAAUGACUGGUCAGUUUUUAUGUUUUGCAAGAAUUGCACGUGAUUUACGAAGAGGGAAAAAACUACACUGGGUUAUGGCCAGUAUGUGGAAGUCGAAUUGUAAAGUACCGUGUGGUAUGUCUUUCUCAAAACUGGAUCAAGGAUACUCUGGAACCUCGGAUAAGUUUUGCCUGGAAAUUUUUUAAAUGGAAUGUUAAUAUGGCAUGUUAUAUUAUCCCUUCGAUUUGAUGCUUGUAGUCAAUCUACAUAUUGAGACACAAAAUGAUGUACAUGUAUACUGACCAAUUCUAUUUCGGAGCUUAAUCAUUACUAACUUGUUGUUUGAAACUUAAUCAUAGCUAAUUUCAAGACUUAACAAUAGCGGAUAUAAUUUUUGUGCCUCAUUACCUGGUGAAGUGCGACUGUAAGGUCUUCUUAACAUGAGCUUAGAAUGACUUUGACACAUGGUAGCUCUACUGUAUUACAUUGUUUAUAUAUGGUGUAUAUUUUAUGAUAUGUUGGAAUAUAUGCAAUGCUUAUGAAAUGAGUAAAUACGAUGCAUACUUGUUUCUAAAGCUGCAUUAUUCUUUGCUUCUUCCGAAAGAACUGCGAUUUUGCUUAUUGGGGUGUUCUCUCUCCACUAUCAAUUUGCUUUUUCCUCUCUUUCAUUACUCCAUGUAAAGUGAAGAAAGAACGAAGCUGAGAGCAAAACAAAUAAAGGAAAAGAAAGAAGAAAGCAAAAGUGCCACUUCCCUGCCUAUAACCCAUCGAAUCUUAAUAGAAAAGCAUUCACGCCUUACAUGUUAGCCUAAUCCCAAACAAAAAAGAUAAUUUGCAGAAUUUAAUCAUAUAUUUGGGGAGUUAAUAGCACCAGAUCUCCUUCCUCCUUUAUUUGAAACAAGUCCACUUAUAAACCUUAAUACAUGAUUAUCUCCUUGAGCUCAAGACCUCGGAUUGGUUCUUGAUUCAAUUCAAUAAAUGGAGGCAAGUUCUCUAUUUGUUACUAUAACAGUUUAUUGAAUGAAGAUUUUGAGUUUUGAGUUUAACGUCAAAUUAGCUUGGAAAAUAAAUCUCUUUUAAUCAUGGGUGCAUGACAAGUUUGACAUUUUAUUUAUAAACGGGUGAAUCAUUGGUGGGUUCUUCACCACUUGGUCCUCUUUAAUGAAAUUGGCAGUCAAGCUUUCCAUAAUCAUGUAUCCGAUGGCUGCUAUAAUAAUUCACUUGCUUUUAAUCUCUAAGCGUUUAACCCAAAGUUCCAAGAAUACUCUCAUGAAUCAGGACUACGUAUUGCAAAAACCGAAAUGCAAAAUUAGUUUACAUAGCUACUAGUUUAUUUUGGGGAGGGUUAGAUAGUUAAACUUAAUUAUUUCAUAUCAUAUGACUAUAAAAAGUCGACCUUUAGUUGGAAUUUCGGAACAACCAUAUAAAUGAUGAUAACUGACGAGACUAAAUUUAUCACUAGUUGGAUCUUCUUCAAUCCAUAUAAUAAAGGUUCAACCUAUCGUCUGCCCUACCAUACAAAAGAAAACAAAGAAGACUAAUAAUCCAUACCCAAUUUAUCACUAGUUGGAUCUUCUUCAAUCCAUAUAAUAAAGGUUCAACCUAUCGUUUGCCCUGCCAUACAAAAGAAAACAAAGAAGACCAAUAAUCCAUACCCAAUUUGGAGAGAGCACGUUCUAAAAAGUGAAAGCAAUUCUUCUUUUGUUCGAAGAAACGUUUGCGAAUUGCUUUUUGAUCGACCGAUUGAUAUCUCCGAAAUUACGCGAUAAAGUGACAAUAUUUACUACACGUGAUGUUGGUUGUUUAAAUAUUUUGUCCCUUUCCGAUUUUUUUCUUUCUUUUUUUCCCUUCCCGUCAUUGCCUCUCGCCCCCUCCCCCUUCUCUUUCUCUCAUGAAACAACCCCUACAAUACAACCCGAACAUAUGCAACUCUCUCUCUCUACCCUCGAUUUGAGCUAGUGAAAAGUAUCCAAAAAAAAGUCCUAAACUUAUUGUAUCAAUAAUAAUUUAGUCAUAAAACUUUCAAUUGAAUCAAUUUAGUUCUAAAUCAUUUUAUGUUAGUACCAAUUGAGUCCAUAUGACCAAUUCAAAUAGAAAUUUAUUGAGGUGGAUAUCAUAUAUCUUAUAUGGCAUGGUUAGCAAUGAUGUGGAUAUUUUAUAAAUAUUUGUUUUUAUAUUUUAUUCGAAUUUUCAAUUAAUUUUUCUUUUCUUUUUUUCUUCUUCUCUUUUCCUUAUUAUCCUUUCCUUUUCCACUGUGGCUAGCAAGCGUCACCGAAGCUCACCAGCCACUGGGCAAUGCAAAUCCCUCUCGGCCUUGCCAAUCGCAAGCAAAAGUGGCUAUGGCCUCGCCAGCCGCGGGCGAGGUCACCUUCACCUAUAGCCGCCAACGGCUCACCCACAUCUAGGUGAGGCCCAUGACCCUUGUCGGCGGUCAGUGAGGGCUUUCGAGGCCCUUGCCUAGUGGCCAGAGAGCUCUAGGCCCACCAGCCACAGUAGGGAACAAAAAAGAAGGAAAAGAGAAGAAAAAAUUAAUAAAGAAUUGAAAAUUUCAGAAAAAAAUUAUAAGAAUAUGUCCAUGUCAAGGCCAAAUGUGCCAAGAGAGACGACCAGUGUCCACAUCAGAAUUUUUUGGCCUAAUUUUGUUAGAUAGAUUAAAUUUAUAGAAAUGUGAAAUGGUUUAUGACUAAUUUGAUAUAAUUAAAAGGUUUAGAAUUAAAUUGGUACUAAUAUAAUAGGUUUAGAAUUUUGUUAGUACUUUUCUUGUUUGAGCCACUACCGCUUGUGCCUCCUUCGCCAUAGUUACCCUGUGUGUUGUGUAUGUUUGUGCUUGUGUGUGUGUAUAAUUGAUUAGUGCUCACAUUGUGUUUGUUUAUAGAUUUUAUUUCGAAGGAGAAAGAAAAAGAAAGGAGGAGCAAAACAGGUUGAUAAAAUACUGACCGUUGAGCCGGUUGACUAUUGAAGUGAAAUGAUUUUUAAGUCGCAUGAAAGAGUGCAAGGAAACAAAUGACGAGAAUUUUACUCGAAAAGGUGCAAUCUUUUUAAUAGGAGCGAUGCGUCAUAAUUGUUCUAAUGAACCUAUUGAAAAGAUGCAACUUAUCAAAUUAAAUUGUAAUAUAACAAGUUAUUUGGAUUUAGACUUUCCUCUCACUUGAAUGGACUGAGGUCGUUGACAAGUUAUGUGUUCAUAUUUUGUUGGACAGCGUGGUUAUAGUCGGAAAUCGCAUGGUUGCAACUGAAGCAAAGUAUAUGAUGUCAAUCGAGACAAUUGAGAAAGUUUUUUCACUCAAAGGUUUGUUCAGUCAUCUAUUAUUGUAGGAGAAGAUUGUUAUUUUUAGCAACAAUUAGAGUGCAAGACAUUUAUCAAAAAUCAAAUGUAUCGUGGGUGAGUGAAACACACUAGUGUCGUGUACAAUUUUAUAUCUGAUAUUGUGUCAUAAGGAACCACACUCGUUCAAAAAGUACACAUGGCGGAUAAUCUAACAAAGCAUAUGGCAUUGACUAAGUUUCAAUAAUAUUCGCACUUGGUUAGCUUCUACAACAAGUGAGGAGCCCAUAGGGGUUUGGGAGAAAUGACAACGGAAGAGAUGAAAUUGGACUUCUCACCAAGGUGGAUAUUCAUUGAUCAUGGCUUGAAGUUGAUUCAGAUUUAAAAAAAAAAAAAUCGAUCUAUAAUUGAAUAACAAUAAUCUCACGCCACAUUAUUGCACUCUUGCCAACAGAAUUGUCCACGAUGGAAAAAGGAAACUAAUUUCCCAUAAGACUUCUUUUCUUCAUUGAAGAUGAAGCCCACGUUGACAUUGGCGAAUCGCUUAUGGUUGUUAAAUAAUUUUGUUGUUGAGUUUGGUCUCGGGUGCACAGUGAGUAUGCUUAACAUAUAUGAAAACUUGCAUGAGAUACGAGAGCUUUGAUAACUUUCAUCCAAGAGUGUGACGGUGUAAUAAAAUUCUUUUUUUGUAAUUGAUUCUUGUAAGUUCAGGUUUAAUCUAGAAUUGAAAAAUACUUAUGAGUGAGUAUGAUUGAAUGAUUCUAAUAUCUUCUUUAUCAAUUAUAAUGGAAUCAUCUUAUCGAUCUCUCUCCAUGUAGUAGGCACAUAGUAGAACCACAUAAAUUUGUUGUCUUUAAAUUUUAUUUAUGCAAUUUAUUUCUUACUCGAUUAGUUUUGUGUGUUUUUAUUCACGAUUCCAAGCUAGUCGCAACAAAUCAUAUUUUAGAGAUAGAAAGAUUCAUAAUGGGUCCCUAAAAAAGAAUACAAGGUUUUACACAUUUCCUAACUUAUGAUUAAAUUUGACUACUUAAUGCUCAUCCGAUUGAUGUAUCAUAUCAUACUUUCUUGAUUAGUAGUGGUAUACAGCAAUGGAUUCGGGUUUAUUAGCUAUUGUCGAUUCCAUCGUUUUUACAUCCAUCCUUCUCUUUCAUGGUAAGUCAGUUGAAAGGGAGGUGGCUCUAUAAAUUAUCCUUUUCACAUCCAACCUUCUAUUUUGUGGUAGUUCUAUGUAGUAUAUCAGUCAAUUGCUCUCUUUUUAUUUUGAAUAUGUCAUUAUGAUUAUUUAUCUUACAUAUAUCGAGCUUAAUUGCAUAUGAUUCAUCAACUCAUGUAAUCAACGUAUUUUCAACCAUUAUUAAUUAAUCUGUGGGAAUCACUCCAAAGACCUCUAAUUUGAUAUUUCAAUCUUCAACCUUGAAUACUGGCAAAAUUCAGGGGCUAGUUGUACAAUAAUUGGGGUGCCCACAAACACCAUCCAUAGGUUACACCAAGUAGACAGACACGAAAUUUGACACAAGAUCAGGAUGCUAAGACAGAGUCAAGCAUUUCAUUUGUGUUCAUCGUGCAUGUGUGCCUUCGAGACCUCACCUCGCCUCUUUCCAAGUGACCUACAACAAAACCACCAUCAUGACCACCACUGCGUCCUGCAAGUUGUCCAAUGCGCCACUGCUUCUUACCUUCUCCGAUUGCCUUGCAACCAACAACGAAAACACCAUUAUUACCACCUCGUAUCGCUACCGCUUCUUACCCUCGUCGAUUACCUGGAACCAACAACAAAAUCAUUAUCACCACCAUUGUGUUGGCAUCAAGAGAUUUCUCUCUAGGCCCUUUGUGCAUAUAUGUUUCAAGCAUGCAUGUGAGAGUUGACACCUAAAUUUUGGCGACACGUUUAAUCAUUCAUUAAUUGCAUAGAAAAAUUAGGGAUUAAUAUAUAAUCUCUAGCAACAAUAAUUUUCAUUAAAUUGCAUGGCAUAUAGCCAUUAGGAGCAUUCGUAUUACUAGUAUUAAAAUUUAAAAAAAAUCUAGAAUUAAUUAAGAACAUUAAAAAAAUUAUCAUUAUUAUUUUUUAUUAAGAAAAGAAAAGAAAGCUAGACCGGGCCAGGGGCGGGCCGGCCCGGCCUUUUUUUCUUUUUCUUUUCCCUUCUUCCUCUUCUCUUUCAGGCCCGGCCCCAUUUUCUCUUUUCUUUCCCCGGCCCGGCCCACGCACCUAUUUCUUCCUCCUUCCUCCCUCGCGCCAUUCCCGCGUGUCUGCGGCAACAGAGACGUACGCAAGCAAAGGCAGAGCAGCCGUGAUCCUAGUGGCGGGGAUCAGGCCGGCCACGGCAGGCUGGUGGUGGCGGAAGCCAUGCGCGUCUGUCGCUAGCCCUUAAAAGCGAGAGAGGGGGCGCAAGAGAAAAAGGGAGGACACCGGGGGCUGGAUUUGAAGGAGAGAUCCGAGAGAGUUCGAGUGACAGAAAUCGAGAGAGGGGGGAGAGACAGAGAACGCAAGUGAGAGUUUGCCUGAGGGAAGAGAGUUGGAGGUAGAGACCGCCGGCCACCGCACGGCCGACAACCCACCGCCGUGCCUCCUUUCCCGCUUCGACACUCCGGUAAGCCUCGACCCCCUUUUUGCCCUUUUUGAGCAUGCCGGGCCGGAGCUCGCGGCCGUCCGGCAGAGGCGAACUCCGGCCCCGUCCGUCCCUCGUUUUUCUGCUGCUGUGCGUGCUGUUGUUGUCGCGGGUUCUGGUCUUCGGUCGAGUCAAAGAUCUCUUGCUUCCGUAGCAUAUACUACCUGUUCGACAAAAUGUCCGAACGAGAUCCAUAGUUUUUUCUCCGGGUAUGGUCUCUUUCGGAACGAUGGUGACACCCCGGUCAGUGAGUGCGUAGGGUUGGCUAGGAGCUGGUCGGUCCUCGGAGGCCUCGGGCCUUACUGUUUUGGGCAUUCGGCGGCGGGGAGGUCGGCCGACGAGUGGCAGUCAGAGUGACCACCCGGUGGAGGGUGGUAGCUCGGCUGCAGCUUAAGCUUUGGCGGAGGUUUGUAUGAAAAAAAAAAUAAUAAUAAUUACGUAGAAGCUUCCGUGAAGGACGUCACACGAGAUGGGGAUGUCGCUUGAGAGCGGCUUAUAAGAUAACCCGACAUCAAACACUCGAGGCCGAGCGUUUUCUUUUUUUCGCCUAAUAAAGGGAGUAUGAUGUGAGACGCCUUAAGUUUGGAUUUACAUCUUUUUAUUUGACGAAUUUAGGAUACUGAAAUCUGAUUUUUCCAUCUUUUAUUAAGCUGGUUUAGAGUAUAGAAUAAUUUUUGGGGGGGUUUUGGAGUGUAGAAUAAUUGAAUUUCUAAAUUUCAUUAUUUUAACCAUGUGUUAAAAUAAGAUAUUCUGAUUGGAAGAUAUCGUAGGAUUUUUUUUAAUUUUUUUUUGGCUAGGCUUUUACUAUAUUCUCAGUAUUUUUUUUCUGUUACUUUAUUUAGAAGUAAUUUUUCAAAAAAAAAAAAAAAAGGUUGCUACUGUGUCUAUUCGUUGUGUUUUGUAGAAUCAUCCAGUUUGCCUCUUUCUAGGAGUUAAAAAGCCGAAGAAAUUUCCGUCUUGCAUUUUGUGCACGGACGCUUCGCGCUUUCGUGUUUGCAAGUUGUAACUUGGUGAUGUUCAUUUCCACUGCGUUGAAGCCUCUCAGGAUUAGCGAAUUGCCACACGUGUCCAUCCCUUGCAACUAACACAAAAGAGUCUAGUUCUUGCAAACCUCAAGAUAAGAAGAAGCAUGCAUGAUAUGCAUACGUGACAAGAGAAGUUAAAGUAAAAUAUGCAUGGGAAUUAUCUCUGCUCUCCGAUCUUCAGAAGUUGCUGACGCGUCUCCUUGUGGCAUUGAUUUCUUGUCGGACUUGGAAGUGCUUUAGCCGUAUCAAAUAGGAUGAUGCAAAGAAGAGGUACAUUGCCACCAUGAAAAAACCCUCUAUCAAAAUUAGUCCAACAUCACUGGAGUUCUGGAAUCCCGUUGCAAGGGAUAAAAAGUAGUUGGCGGCGAGAAUAAACAAUGAAAGGCAAGUCUUAGCAGUGCCAGAACCCAACGGAAGAGCGGCGGCUAUGAUUAUGCAGCUGGAGAUGAGAAAAGUCAUGCUGUUGAGUAAAGUGAAUACGUAUAGACGUGAGCCGCUGAGGAUCAUCUUUCCAGCUUGAUGUGGUUUUCCAUUAGCAAUUUCAGUGGAAUUGGCGGUGACAACAGUCGAGUAGGUCGGGGAAUUUGAAGAAGAAUCUUGCCAGUAUCCUCCCGGAGGACUAAGAGCGGCUUGGUAAGUGGCGGUCGCAAUUAAGGUGCACACCACAAGGAUUAUGUCGCGAGAGGAUUCAUUAUGGACAUAGGGAAUGUGUACCCACCUGUCAAGCCACCGCCGGGUUACAGAGUCGAGAAAAUAAAAAAAUCUGGGCUGUAGCCUCUUCACAACAUCUUGAUCGUUACGAGAAUUCACUUGGAAGAUUUCCAGAGCGGUCUCACCAAGGGAGUUCUUCACUUGUGUAUCUGCCCUCCGACUUAAUAGCUCGAUGAUCUGAAAGAAAUGCAAAAGGAAUAAAAAUGAAGUACGUACCCCUUCAAGUUAAAUCAUUGCUUUAUCCUAAGCUUUACUAUUGUGCACAAGAUGAGCUCUACCCACGAUGCUAGCGAUGCAGCGACCCAUGUACAAAUGAAGAAAGUUUACUAGACCUUAUUUAUUAAUGCCAUCAUUUCAACCAAUAUAAAGAAGUCCUGGAUUUUUUUCAAAGAUGUGCAAUUAAGUACUUUCAUCCAGAAUUAUUUAUGGGAUAAUUAGGGAUUGCCCAUGUGGGUUGCAACAUAGGCGAAUCCACAUAAGUGAUGACUUGAAUGGCUAUAAUCUAGCAUAAAAGUUUAGGAUUUAAUCACGUCAAUUGAAAAGAUUUAGGAUGCAAUUACAUUUUGUAUAUGAGUUUUUUAUUUUUUUUUUCCCAUGAAGAAGAAGACUAUCUUUGAUAAAAGAAUGGACCAACCUAUUAAAACUGGAUUCAAUAUAAGGGUCAAGCCUACCCUUCUGUGACCUUAGGCACGGGAAAAUAGUCAAAAAAAGAAUUGGAAUAGAAGAUUGGGAGUGGAGUUACUACAUCCAUCCCUCCUAAUUCCUUUUCUUCUUUGUUUUGUGCCGAACAACAAUCCCAGCGUUUAUUUAUGUCAAAGUUAAUAUAACAAAUUUCUUUUAGAACGAAAUAGUACGGAUAAUUAUUUUUUGACGCUGUUUCUAUUCCCUUAUACCUAAAUGCGUCAAUUCUUUUCCAACUAUUCCGUACACAUUCUAAUGUACGAGUCGUAGUUCUAUGUGAUAACAAAGUGCAACAGAAUAUCAUAUAUUAUAUACUCCGUUCACUUCUAUUAUUUUCUUGAUGAAAAACGGUUCUUGCUUUCAUGGAGGUCAUUAAUUGCAAAUUGUAUGAUUCCACCUGAUUAUUUGAAGCAAUCCAUAUUCUUUAAAGCCAUAAUUCAUUAUUGGGCAGAUGAAUUUAUCCGCUCAUUUCAUCUCUCUUACUUAACAAGCAUAUGAGAUCUGUGGCAAUAAAUAGAUUAAAAUUGUAUUAUCUUUAAUUAAAUCGAACUCCAAUGCUUUUUCUACGUACAUAACUGACAUAUAUAGAGAGAAUUCAAAGAAAUAAAAUAAGAUUGUGAAACCAACCACGAGAAAUCUUUCUCUUUUUUUUUAAAAAAUAAUUUUAUGCGAUGGUGAGAAGUUCAACAAGAGAGAAAAACGUAUACUGAUUGAGCAGGACUCAAUGAGGACGUAAAAGGACGAGAGAGAGAGAGAGAGAGAGAGAGAGAGAGAGAGAGAGAGAGAGAGAGAGAUCAAAUCGACAAAAUACUCUUUUUUUAUAUGUGAAUUCAACGGUUAACAAUUUUCCUUCUUUGUAAACAUUACACAUAAUAAUCCACUGAAGAGGUGGGUAUUUUCCCAAAGAUUAUUGGCAAAAGUUUGUUUUCAUAAUAUUAAGAGACAUGAAGUCGAACGAUAUCGUGAUAUUAUUUAUUACUCAUGCGGAAACACACAAUUGAUUUGUAGAAAAUAUGUUUUUUUUUUUUUUUUUGGAGAUGUCAAUACGAUCUAAUCAUCACAAUAUUCACAUCACCCGAUGCAUCAUUUCUAUGGAUAGUUUCUUGUGUAUUUUCUAGGUCACAUUAAACGAGCAAAUUUAUGAACACUUCUAUAUGUUCAACACCAUGCUAUGCAACUUCAAAUAUCAAUGGUCAGAUUGACACUCAUAGACAAUAACCGUUGAAUGAUAAUAAUACAUCAUAUAUUGUAACACAAUUUGUAGUUCAAGUCUCCUCUCUCUGAAUGUUUCUAAAACCGUGUAUUUUCGAUCCCUGGUAUUUCAUUAUCAAAACAUUUAUUCCUAGAUUAUAUUACGUCAAAUUCAAGGAUUGAAUGAUAAAAACAAGAACAACCAGGAAAAGCGAAGAACCAUACCUUGGGUUGCCCUACAUUCGCAGCAAUAUGUAAGGCAAUGUUACCAUCUUUGUCUUUCCAAUCCAAUAUUUCUUUCAACUUAGCUCUCUCAAGCCAUCUAAACAACACCUCAAAUGCUUUGAGGUUGUGGUUCUUCAAAGCGACAUGAAUUGCAGUCUCACAUCGGUUUGUCAAGUCUUCAAUGGAUGAUUUGCAAAUGCAUAGGAAUUUGGUCAGGAGCUCCAAUUCAUCAUCUCCUUCUUUCCCGGCGACGUAAUGCAAAGGGGUGAUCCCGCAUCGUCCUAGGACUCGGACCAACUUCGGGUCACGAGUCAUCAGUGCCCUCACGAUGUUAUAAUGCUUAUGUUGCAAAGCGCAGUGCACGGGGCUAUAACCCUCCGAAUUUAGCUUCCGAGCAAACGAUGGCUUCAAGAUGACCAUCUCCAUGGCCACCUCCAUUUUUCCGGCAGCCACAGCAACAUGAAGUGGCGUAUUUGGGAAGGGGGGUUUAGAUACCCGAUCCAAGAGCUCUGGCUCCUCCACAAUUAAGUCAUAUAGCAAAUCAACAUCGUCAAGCUCGAUCGCUUGUUGAAGUCGAGACUCCCUAGCCUUUUUUUCUCCUUUGGGCAAACCCCUGGCCAUAGUGUUACAAGGGAAAUGUAGGAGCAGAAGAGGGGCUCUGCUUGGCGAUGAUCGAUGGAAGUAGCAAACUUGCAAAAUCAUAUAUUAUAUAGUGCCACGGUUCAAUGAACAUUUGAUGUAGGGGAGUCAACAGGUGUACAGGUGGGCCCAAAGGCAGGUGGGGGUUGAGUGGGGUCCACCAUAUCUUGGACGGGGACCGGCGCGUAAUGGUCAGAUUCUUAGGAAAUUGUAGUCUUGUACUUUUACGUGCCUUUGGCUUUCCACUUUUGCUCUUUCGCUUCUUGUCAUGUUUUGCAAGAAUUGCAUGAUAUGAUUCAUCGGGAAGGAAAAACUAUAACGUGUCAUGGCCCGUACGUCAAAGUCGAACUCUAAAGUACUGUAUGGUAUUCUCUUUUUGAAAACUUAUUCAAGCAUUUAAUAUUAUGAGCCUCUGAUGAAUUUUGUCUUGAAAUAUUUUGGUGAUAUAUACGAUAGGAUAUUAUAUUGUGGGUUCAAUUUGAUGCUCAUAGUCAACUUAUAUGUGAGACAUGACAUAGGGACUGAAUCUACUUCGAGAUUUAAUUGCAGAUGAUAUGUUUUUCGAAACUUAAUCAGAACAAUGUCAUUUUUAGGGCUUAAAAAUAGCAGCUAUCGUUACCAUGCCUCACGCCUCACAAAGUGUGAUUGUAAGGUACUCUUGUUAUUGUGACUUCCUUCCAAUCAAGCCUCCGAUUUUCCAAGGUAAGAGAAAAUCAGUCACACCUUACUUGUUAUUGCUAAUCCUAAACCAAUGAAGAUAAUUUGUAGAAUUUAAUAAUACAUUUGAGGAUUUAGUAGCACCAGACCUAUUUCUGUCUCUAUUUGAAACGAGUUCACUUAUAAACCCAAGCACAUGAUUAUCACCUCGAAUGCAUGAUCUCGCAUCAAUUCUUCGAUUCCAUUCGAUACAUGGAGGCUAAUUCUCUACUCAUUAUGAUAGUGGUUUAUUGAAUGAAGAUUUCGAGUUUCAAAUUUAGGAUCAAAUUAGCUCGGAAAAUAAAUCUCUUUAAAUUGUGGAUGCACGACAAAUUUGACAAUUUAUUUAUAAAAUGGUAAAUCCCUGGUGGGCUCUUGAUUUAUUGCUCCUCUUUAAUGUAAUUGGCAGUUGAGCUUUUCAUAGACAUCAAAUCAGAUGGCUGCUAAUAAUAUUUCACUUACUAUUUAAUCUCAAAGCUUAUAACCCACAAGUUUCAGAAAUGCUCUCGUGAAUUGUAACUACACAUUGUCCGAACAAAAGAAAAAUUAUAACUACAUAUUGCAAAACCGUAAUGCAAAAUUAGUUUACAUAGCUACUAGCUUACUUUGGGUAUGAGUUAGUUAUUUAAAUUUAAAUAUCUCGUAUCCUAUCACUAUCAAAAACCUACCUCUAGUUGGAAUUUCCAAACAACCAUAUAAAUGAUGAUAAGUAACUCAAAUAAGAUAGUAACUUUGUUCUAGAGUUGGUUACUCGUGCUUCACAAAUAUAUUGAUAAAUUAUUUGAAUCGUGGAUUAUUUUGAAAAGUUUUUGUUAACUAUAACUAAUUGAUAAGCUCCUAAAAAAAGAUGCGUAAGUUAUAGGGAUAUCUGAUACUUCUGAAACAAUAACCAAAAAAAAAAAAAAAAAAAUGGCAAGUGGACACAAAUAAGAAUCGUUGAUUUUGUAUAAGAGUUGAUGACAUUAACACGUUAGUCAGCCUUUCAAAUGAAUCCAGGUAAAUUAUUGGAACAGUUAAUAAUUUUUAAAUAAUCAAUGUACAUUAAUAUAACUCAAAUAAGAGUUGGUAACUCAAGCCUCGCAUAUAAAUUAUUUUAAACUUUUGAAAAAGUUGGUUAAGGUUUAAAACUGUUGUUAAUGUUGUACCAGUGUUGGUAACUUUAAACCAUUGGUAAGCUUUGUAAAUAAAUAUUGUUAAAGUAUUGGAAUAAGUUUGUAAUGUUGAAACAAUCAAAUAAACUUUGGCAAGUGAACCUAAAUAAGAGUUGCUAUAUUUUGUAAAAGUAUGAGUAAUUUUAACACAUCGUUAUGAUUCUAGAAAAUAUGUCCUUAAAUUAUUGGAACAGUUGACAAUUUUUGAAAAAAGUUAAAAAACUUGAUAACUGAUUAAAACAUAGUGGGAAAUUUCAUAUAAGAGUUUAUAAUUUAAGCUCCACAAGUAAAAGUUAGUCAGUUAUUAAGAGAACCAGUAAUUUUGAAAUAAGUUGAUAAUUUUGUGUAAGAACUGGUAACUUUAACCCAGUGAUAAGUUUCGAAAUAAAUGUGGUGAACUAUUGGAACAGUUGAUAAUUUUGUGGCAAUCAAAUAAAGGUCAGUAAGUUGACUAAUAUAAGAUUUGACUAUUUCAUAUACUAGUCAGUAGCAUUAUCAGGUAAGCUGCGCAAAUAAAUGUUGGUAAAUUAUUGCAACAAUUGACUAAUUUGAAACAAUCAACUAAAAGUGAACAAGUGACUCAAAUAGUGGUUGUCAAGCUAAAAUUAUUUGGUGAAUUGAUGGAAGAAAAAUGGGCAAGUCACUUAAAUUAGGGUUGGUAAUUUUAAUAAAAGUUUGCACUUUAUCAUGGUGGUAAGUUAUACAAACUAAUAUUGAUUAAUUAUGAAAACAAUUGGUAAUCUUGGAAGUACUGAUAUGGUACUUACAAAAAAAAAAAAAAAACAGUCGGUAACUUUAUACUAUGUUACUGGCUAAAUAAGUAUACAUUUCAAGGAUUAGACAUCAUUUGCGAAAAGAAGAAUAAUGUCUCACUUCGUUUUCUAAAAUUCGAAAUUGCGAUGACUACUCAGAAGAUCAAAAAGCAAAGUGCAAGUAAUUGAUGAAAAAAAGCGAAGUGCUAAAUUUGCUAUCACAUGUAUAACGAUUGCGCGAUCAUGUCUUUAUUCCGUUCUUUGUCGGGAAAAAAGGAGAAAAAGGAGAAUUCUUGGAGACAAAAAGUACUUUGCAUAUUUGACUAGUUAAUAGCUUCUUCAAUCUUGAUUACUGGCAAUAUAAAAGGUUUUCUUGCUUGUAGCUAACAAAAGACAACAUAGGGCCUUUGGCAAAGAUAUCAUAUAAUAUAAUGUCUGUACUGUCGUGUCUUUAUUGUGUUAGGCUCUAGCCUCAUUAAAAGUGUUUCUUUCUUUCUUAUGACGAGGUUAGCAAAGACAGAUUAAGUAGUCCAAAUCUGCUCAAGUCAUCCAUGGGUUCACCCAAGACUAGAUUAAUCACUAGUUGGACCAUCUUCAAUUCAUAUGUUAAUCUAUUGUCUACCUUACCACACGAAAGAAAAGAAAGAAGACCAAUAGUUCAUCCCCAAUUUGAAAAGAACAUCUUCUAAAAAGUGGACGCAAUUAUUCUUUAUGUUCGAAAAACGAUUAUACAUUGCUAUUUAAUUGAUCGAUUGAGAUCCUUUAAAAUUACGAGAUGAAGUCACAACCUAUAUCUAUCUUCUCAAUAGGUUAAUACUAUGCUACGUGUGUUAUUGGCUGUUUAAAUUUGUGGUCCCUUUUAUAUUUUUUCCUUUUCCUUCGUUGUUUAUUUCUUUCGUUUUCCCUUACCAUUACUGCCCUUCGCCCUCUCUUUCUCUCUCUCUGACCUGGGUUCGAGCCGCCACCACUUGUCACCUCCUCAAUUAAGUUCUGUACCUUAUCAACAUCGUCAUUUGCUAUUGCCAGUUCAAGCCGAGACUCCCUAGCCUUUUUUUCUUCUUUUUCGGCCAGAACCCGGGCCAUCGUGUUACUAGGGAAAUAGAGGAGCAGAAAAGGGGCUUUGCUGGGUGAUAUGAUCAAAGGGAGUAGCGAACUUGCAAAAUCAUAUAUUAUAUAGUGUCACGAUCACCAAAUAUGUAAUUAGCUAAGUCAACAAGUGUACAGGUGGGCUUAAUGGCUGGUUGGGGUGAGUGGGGCCCGACAUUUCUUUGACAGGUCAGAUUCUCAAGAAAUCGUUAGACUUGUAAUAUUAUGCGCCUCUGUUGCUUCCGACUUUUGCUAUUUCGCUUUUUGUUGUGUUCUGCAAGAAUCGCGUGAUGCGAUUUAUCGAGAAGGAAAAACUCUACUGUGUCAUGGCUUGUAUCUUGGAGUCGAACAGUAAAGUACUGUAUGGUAUAUAUUUUUCUCUAAAAUCUGGAUCAAACAUUUAAUACUCUUGUGCCUCAAAUGAAAUUUAUCUACAAAUGUUUUGGAUGGAAUGUUGUUUAUAUUGGUGAUAUAUAUGGCGCAUGUUGUAUUGUGGUUUCAAUUUGAUGCUCGUAGCCAACCUACAUAUUGAGACAUGACAUGAUGUACUUGCUUAAGGACCGAUUUUGUUUCAAGGGCAUAAUUGCAACUAAAGUGUUUUUUGAGAUUUAAUUAGAGUGAAGUGAUUUUCUAGGCUUAACAAUAGUGAAUAUGAUUUUCAUGCUUCAUCACUUGGCAAAGUGUGACCAUAAAGUCUUCAUGACAUGAGCAUAAGAUGAGUUUGAAAUAUGUCGGUUAUGCGAUAUUGCAUUGUUUAUGAUAUGAUGCAUGUCUUAUGAUUUGUUAGAAUAUAUGCAACACUUGUAAAAUGAGUAAACAUGAUGCAUACUCCUUUUGUAAAGUUGCAUUAUUCUUAACUUGAUCCCAUAGGAAUGGUGAUUUUGUGUUUUUUUUUUCCUUUUUCAUGUAAAUAAAGAGCGAAUAAAGCUGAAAACAAAAUAAAUAGUGCCACUUCCUUCCCAUCAACCCAUCGAAUCUUUCCAAGGUAAUAGAAAAUCAGUCACACAUUACUUGUUAUUGCUAAUCCCAAACUAAAGAAGAUAAUUUGCAGAAUUUAAUCAUACAUUUGAGGAGUUAAUAGCAUCGGACCUACUUCCUCCUUCAUUUGAACAAGUCCACUUAUAAAUCUAUGAGAUUUGGUGAGAUUACUGUUAAUUGUUGUAAAAGUACCAUAAGUCUUUGCCUUGUACUAAAUGUAGAUAGAUUUAAUUGGGUAGAUAAAUGAGGCCAUAAAAGAUUUGAACUCAUGACCUCCUACCCUAAUUCCAUGUGAAAUUUGAUGAAAUUACUGUCAAUUAUUCUAAAAGAUUAAACUAUUAGAUGAAAGCAUGGUUUAUUAUUUAAAUAUUCAAUCAAAACCUAAGCACAUCAUUAUCUCCCCGAGCUCAAGACCUCACAUCGGUUCUGAUUUAAUUCAAUAUACACAGACAAGUUCUAUACUCAUUCCUAUAACAGUUUAUUGAAUGAAGAUUUGAUAUUUGAAUUUAACAUUGAAUUAGCUUAAAAAAUAGAGCUCUUUAAAUCAUGGGUGCAUCCGGACCCAAAAAAAAAAAAAAAAAAUCACAGGUGCAUGACAAAUUUGACAAUUUAUUAAUAACUGCGAAUCAUAGGCAGGUUCUUCAUCACUCCUCUUUAAUGUAGUUGGAAGUUGAGCUUUCCAAUCAUAUAUCAAAUGGCUUCAACUUUUUUUUUUUUUUUUUUUAUCUCAAAGCCUUUAACUCAAAAGUUCCAGGAAUGCUCUCUUGAAUUAUAACUACGUAUUGCAAAACCGUAAUGCAAAAUUAAAUUACCUAGCGACUACUUUAUUUUGAGAAUGGGUUAGAUACUUAAACUUAGAUAUCUAAUUUCCUGUAAGAGUUUAUAAUUUUAAGCAACGCAUAUAAAUGUUCAUAAGUUAUUAAGAGAACUAGUAAUUUUGAAAUACAUUGGUAAUUUUGAAUAAGAAUUGGUAAAUAUAACCCAAUGAUAAGUUCGGAAAUACAUUUUGUGAACCAUUGGAACAACUAGUAAUACAGUGGCUAUCAAUAAACGUCAAUAAGUGGACUCAAAUUAGAGUUGGUAAUUUCAUAUAAUAGUUAGUAACCUUAUCCAUCGGUAAGCUGCACAAAUAAAUAUUGGUAAAUUAUUGAAACAAUUGGUAAUUUCAAAACAAUCAAAGAAAACUUAACAAGUGACUCAAACAUUAAGUUAGAAUUAGUUAGUGACUUAACGGGAGAAAAAUGGGCAAGUCACUUAAGUUAAGGUUGGUAACUUUGAAUAAAAGUUAGUACCAUUACUAAUCUUGGAAGUGUAUGUUAGAAAGUCCAACCCAAGUAUUGAAGCUGAUAUGGGACAGUAUUUCUACACCCCCUCACAUGUAAGCCGAAAGUUGACAGAUGGGGUUGGAUGCACAUAUGCAAAAUGAAUAACAUGGUUUAAUAUUUAAAUAUUCCAACACUCCUAUGUGUGAGGAUCUCUUGCUCCGAUACCAUAAGAUUUUGUGGAACCACUAUCAAUUAUUCUAAAAAUUUAAGCUGAUAGAUAAAGAAAAUUGCAUGAAGAUAGAGAGCACAUAGUUUGCGUUGUUAAUAAUUUUUUAAUAAUAAUUUAACAUCUCGUCUCAUGUGCAAUAUGUAUAGGUACUUUAAAAAAAAAAAAACUGCCGAUAACUUAAUAAUAUGUUGCUGGCUAAAUAAGCAUGCAUAUAAACGAUUGGUGAAAAGAAGAAUACCGUCUCUCUUUAUUUUAUAAAAGUCGAUAUUGUGAUGACCACUUGGGAGACCGAAAAGCAAGGUGCUGGUAGUCGAAAAAAGAAAAGAAAAGCAAAGCUCUAAUGCCGACAAAGAUUAUUGAGCAUAAAAAAGUGAUGUCGAAAUUGUGAUGACUACUGUAAGGAUUAAAAUUAUCAGAACCCUGUCGCUACUGAGUGAUUCAAAAAAACAAGGAGUAAAACUACCCUUGCGACAUGCGUCACCUUAAACCUAUCUUUGAUCAUUGGUGCUAGAGGGCUGGCAAUUUCUGACAUAAAUUAAUAUGGCUAUGCACAAUUAUUUGGCGUACUCAAAAGCAACACGAAUUUAUACGAAUUUAUUAUAUGUGAGUUUUAUAGCAUAGUCAAUAAAAAUGUAGGUGUUUUCCAAUUACACGACCUAACAGAGUUGUGAAAUCCGAUCGAACCAGAUGAAAUUGAGUUGCCAAUUCUUGUGGCAACAUAUUAUAAGCAUUUAUAGCAAAUAAAAAGUAGUUCAUGUGACGAUCUUUUUUAAUACAUAUUUAUUUGUAUAUAUUGUGUAUAGAGUAACAUAUACCGACAAAUGGAAAUGCUGCAUUUCAUUUACCAGACAACCUUCUUCUACUCUCUUCUUUCUCUAUUUUUGGUGCUUGUCUAGCUAUAUGUCAACUCCUUCUUGUAUUUUCACUUUACUAACACAUGGAAAACGUUUGUACUAUCAUGUCUUUAUUCCGUUUUUUGUCGGGAAAACAGGACAAUUCUUGGAGAAUUCUUGGAGACGAAAAGUACUUUGCAUACUUGACUAGUUAAUAACUCAAUAGCGUCUUCAAUCUUGAUUACUGGCAACAUAAAGGGUUUAUUGCCGAUAGCUAACAAAAGACAACAUAAAGGCCAUAGGCAAAGAUAUCAUAUAAUUUAAUGUUCGUGUAUGUCUCCAAUGUGUUGGGCUCCAGCCUCAUUAAAAGUGUUCCUUUGUUUCUUAUGAUGACGUUGGCACAAGGCAAACAAUUCAAAUCUGCUCAAGUCAACCAUGUGUUCAGCAGACACUAAAUUAAUCACCAGUCGGACCAUCAAUUCAUAUAUUAAAGGUUCAACCUGUUGUCUGCCCUUGCUCACAAAACAAAAGAAAGAAGACCAAUGGUCCACGCCCAAUUUGGACAGUGUACAUUCUCAAAAGUGGAAGCGAUUCUUCUUAUAUGGUCGAAAAAAGUUUAUGAAUUGUUGUUUCAUUGAUCAAUCCUUUGAAAUUAUGAGAUAAAAUCACAACUUAUAUUUAUCUUCUAGAUAGGUUAAUACUUUACUACAAUGCUAUUCAAUGUUCAAAUUUAUUGUCCCUUUUCUAUUUUUUUUUUUUCCUAUUGAUUGAUCAUUUACUUCCAUUUUCCUUUUCCUUUUCAUUUUCCCUUCCCCUUAGCCCCCCUUCUCUUAUGAGACAUUCUCCGAUCGGGACGUUGCCAAAAAUAAUCACCGAAGAAAAGCUAUUAAAUCGCUAAGCAAAGACUUCGUGUGGAGUAUCCCAAAUCAUAACUUUGAGGUUUUUAAUUUAAGUAAAUAUUCAAAUCAAUUCAUUUUGGAGUCACCACUAAUCUAUUAUUAGUCAAUAAAAAAAUCUAAGUAAAAUGUGAGAGAAUAUCUUACUUUGCGAACCAGAGAUUUCAUGGAUAUAGAGACUUUAUGUUAGAUAUAUGGAUUAGUAUUAGAUCCACCAUGUCUGUGACUUCUUCCACCACAGAAGCCCGUUGGUGACAAGAUAUGCAUCCCAUGCAGUCAAUGGUGCAUACAAGGGGUGUGUCAUAAGCCUACUAGGUUCUAUUCCAUGCAAAAUACUGCCUUGUAAUACACAAAUGCAUGUCUAAAUAUCUCUUCAAAGUUUAAUUUGAUCUACGUUAUAUAAGUCAAUUUAGAGUAAAUAAACUUUAAUUUAUUUGGAGGGACUUUUAUUUUUGACUUUUCGCUUGUUCAAAUUUAGUGACCCUUGCGCUUUGGUCUUUUUUUUCUACUCUUAAAUACUCAAGAUUGUCGCAAUGUAUAAAUAUGAACACGUAAUAUCUUCCAUAAUUGUUAAAAUUUGGAUAAUAAUUUAAGCUUCGACAAGAAUGCAAAAAACCUACUUUUGACUUUUUAUAGUCCCAAGGAAAACCAAGGGGAGAGGUGAGCGGAACGUGCGUUGAUACCUGAAUUUUGUUGGCAAGCCAAACGUAUAAUCAGAAAGAAAAUCACUUCGAGUUUUAAGGUCCUCUAAUCAUGACAGAGCUCAAUCCCUGAAAAAAAAUAGGUGGGUCGGAUAAUUCUACGUCCAUUACAUCCCACCUACAUAUGGAGAUUAGGUUCAUUGCAUUUCGUUAGGAUUUAAAUCACAUUUCAUGCAUAGAGUAAAAGUUGACUUAUUAAUCAGACUGAAAAAGUUAACCUUAAAUCGUAACGUAACAAGAGGUAUCUUAACAGUGUAAUCGGUGCCCUUGUCGAUCCAGGGGAAGAGCUCAUGUAUAUAUGCUUUUUUUUUUGGUGCUCUGUUGUAUCCUUUUUCUUUUCUACUGUGUAUUGCCAACUUCCCUUAUUUUUAAGGACAAAUUGAUUUAUAUAGGAUGAGAUUAGGGUGUUCUUGCUAGAACAAGGGAUAUCAUUAUUUCCUAGUUAAAUCAAACAGAUAUGUGAUUUAUUCAAGAUAAGAAACCAAGGUAUUCCUAUUUCUUAUUUACCCAAGAUCAAAUUUUCAAUGAUAUUGAGUUUGUUAGUUCAAAAACCAUGGAAUCUAUUAUCAUUUACUUCCCCUAAUGUGACCUUCACAUCUAAUUUUUUGUUACAAAGGGUAUCUAUUGAGCUUGUCCAAAUUUUAUACUCUUGCAGGCUUAGCCCAGAUAAUUUAAUUAAACUCCAAGUUUCACUGCUUAAGUCCGUUAGCUCCUAUCCAAUUAGAAUGCAAUCAUGUGGGCUUAUUAUAAAAAUAAUCUUAACAUGCAAAUGAUAUUUAACAAUAUUUUUUGUUGGGGUCCAGGAUCAAACCUAUUUUGCUGUGCAAUAAUGUAACUAAAGGGGUGUCCAAAUUUAAAUGUCAACAAUAUAUAACAAGGGAUCAAGGAUUAUACAGUAUUCUUGAGUUUCAUCUUUCUUACAUCUUAAAAGGUGGCUUCUAAAGAGAAGAUAUCGAAAGCAAAAAUGAUGAUACUGAAUCUAUAUAGUAUCUUUUUCAUAUCCAACCUUCUAAUCUGUGGUAAUUCUAUAUAAUAUUUCAGUCAAUUGCUUUCAUUUUAUUUUGGGCUUUUGAUGUUGAAUCUGUCAUUGUAAACAUUUUUCUGGCCUUUCAAGCUUAGUUGCAUAUGAUUCGUCAAGCCACGUAAUCAGCGUAUUUUCGAUGAUUAUUAGUUAAUCCAUGGGAAUGGCUUCGAAGACCUCUAAUUUCAUAUUUCCAGAAACACUAGGCAAAGUAACACUCGCUGUUCAAUUAGGCCACUUUCACUAAUCAUAGCACUACUCUUUCGAUCUUUAUAACAAUUGCAAUGGCUCAAUUGCGAUCCAGGGGACCAUCAAGAAACUGAAACUAUUUUGCUAGUGGAAAAAGAAGAACGAAAAUUAAAACUAGAAAAAUGUAAUGUUCACAUGCAACCAAUGUGAAUUGCUCAUAUUACUAUCAUAAUGUGAAUUUGGGAGGAUUUUGAGCUUGAAAAAGAAUAUCAGGGGAACACGUUUUUCAUGACGAUGGAGAGAUGAUAUGGAAAAAAAAAAAACCCUCUCACGUUGAUCUCAAUAUAGAUAUAAUUGAGAUUCUGGCGGAAAAGUUUGAAGUGAUAGAAAACGAAAAGAGUAACAAUGAAUUCGAGAUUUCAUUAUACAAAAAAUUUAAAGAAUCAAUUGAUGGAUCAAUCAUGAAGUUUGGUUUGUAUCUUUUAUUUGAGCAAGAAUUUUUUUUUACUGAUUUUGCAGAAAUGAUUCCAAAUUCCAAGAAGACUGAAGUAGGUAUGCUAAAUUAUAUAACCCAACAUUUUCAAAAACUCAAGGUCAAGCCUUUUUUUUUUUAAAGUAGAGAACGAUGUGGGGCAACUCAAGUUUGAAUUUACGUUUUCUAUUUGAUGAAUCAAGCAUUGUGAAAUUUGAUUUUUCCCUCUUUAAUUUAGUUGGGGAUAUUCACUUUAUAUAUAAUAGGGAAAAUAUUACAAAUGAUUCCUGAACUUUCAUCUAAUGUUCAAUUUCAUCAAUGAUAUUUCAAUUUGCUCAAUUUGGUCCAUAAACUUUCAUCUAAUGUUCUAUAUAGUCCCUAACUAUUUGAAAAUUGACAAAUUUCCAUUUUUUUCAAUACCAAACUUUUUUUUUAUAAAUUAAAAAAAUACCACAUUUAUAUAAAGUAAUAAAUGUCAAUAUUUCUUUCCUUUCUCUAUAUUAAAAAAAAAAAUGGAAAAUAGGGAUAGUAGUAAUAAACAAGGGUGAAUCUUGCAUUUUGAUUUCCUUUUUGUAUAUGCAAAUUACUUGAAUAAUGUACAAAAGCCCAUCAAUCGAUUUUUUUUCCCUUUUCGGUGAAUUUAUAAAAAAGAAAAAACACUUUGGUAUUAAAAAAAGGGAAAUUAGUCAAUUUUCAAAUAGUUAGGGACUAGAUGGAAUAUUAGAUGAAAGUUCAUGGACCAAAUUGAGCAAAUCAAAAGCUCAAUGAUGAAAUUGAACAUUGGAUAAAAGUUCGUGGACCAUUCAUGACAUUUUUCUUAUAUAAUAUUUGAAUUUCUUCAUUUUGUCAUUGGAAUAUCCUUUGCGAGAACCGGAGGAUUUUGAGCUUGAGGAAGAAUCACAGGGUGAGCAAGUUUUUUAUGAUGACGAAACUUAUUAUUCCAAUUUAGAUCCAAGCGUGCUAACAACUGAAGGUUUGUCGACAAUUUAAUUCUUCAUUCUAAAAAAACUAACUAAAAGAAAAAAGAUAAAGAAAGGAGGAAUAGAUAAAAAAUAAAAAUAAAUUAAAAAAAAUGAAGAAAGACUCAUUUAAAUUUAUUAAUAAGAAGGCCGAUGCAGACCCACUAUAACGCAAUCCCUAUCGCGCAGCCCAAUUCUGUCAUCUGCCCAUUUUUGAAAGAGGGCCCGGCCUUCCUUUAUUCUGGAAAAACUUCCAAACGACCAUGGGGCGUCUCUCUCACUAAAGACUCUGGGCUAUCUUUCGUUCCAUCGUCAUCGUCUCUGACGACUUCUCCCUCCGAUUUGAUCGUUGCUCAAGGUCUGUUCUGUUGUUGCUUUUCUUCAUGGCAUUAUGGGUUAUGCUCUGUUUCCGUUGCUUUGUACGCGAGACUGAGGCCGAGAACUCUAGUUGUGUUUUUAUGCGAAAAUAAUCUCCGAUUGAGGGUCUAUUUAUUGAUUUGAGCUGCCUCCUUUGAUGAUAUUGUGGUCAUGUUGGUUUUAAAAUCACUAAACUGAGAUGCCCGCCAUAUGUUCGUUGAAAUGCCUGUGUGAAACUCAUGUGGCAAAGCUGAGGAUUGUUACCAUGCUUAGCAUCUGAAUUGAUUGUUGUUGGGUACAGGCGUUUAAAAUUCCCAUCAUGCGUAGUGUUUGUGUAACUGAGUAACUCAUUUAAGCAUGUUCACGGGACUGAAGUUUGUGUUCGCUGGUUGUGGAAGCAAAGUCGAGAAAGAUCUUGAGUGAGUUAGCCUGUUAAACGUUUGUGUGUUGAUUUUUGUAGUAAGAUGUAUGAGCGUAAGGUUCAAAACACUCUCUGCAUUGCUUAUUUCGCAAGCAAAAAUUGAGUUUGAAGUCCAUGUGGUUAUUUGCUUGAAUUGUGAUCGCGACUGAAACUAUUCUUCACCAAUAUAAAUUAAACCUUUUCUAGAAGCAUCUGGAUUGAAAUGUUGCAUUAGUAUCACGUGGAGAAUCAUUUUCCAAGACGCUCACCAUUUGUUCGACGAAAUGCAUAAGUCAGAUUUGCAAUUGUUAGCUUGUGUUAUGGAUCAUUUGGAAAGCAAUCCGUCAUGCCUCAGAUGAUUUUCGUUCAAAAAUACUAACUACUUGUAGUGUUUGCUAUUUCAUUUCCUGUUGACCGAGAUUUUCCUUCACUUAAUGAUGAUCUGAUUUUAUCAUCUUCGAAUACUUUACUGACCACCUGUUUCUGCUAUUGUAUGCGUUCUAUGUGACUCAAUGGUGAUUAGCGGUGGUUCUCGGCGAGGAAUAUGGUUUCAAAUGACUGAUACGCAUGACAAUUCUCCGGUAAAUUUCAUUAGCCACAUUCCAGUUUUUACGUUCUCUUCCUGUGCAUAUUGGUACUGCUUGGUUCGUAUUUAUUAAACAUUAAGUGGUUAAUGGCAGUGGAAGUGAGGGUUAACGGCAGUGGCCGAAAAUGAUAGUUCACUGGGGUUAUCCGGUGGCAUAGGAACAUGCUAUGGUCAAUUCAUGUUAAAUUCAGACAUAAUGCUCCAAAUUGAUGUGCCCAAAAGUUGCUGAAAAUAAGCCUGACUUUUCUGGUCAUGAAUCAUGAUUUGAGGAUUUCUAUGAGACGUAACUUUAAUGCGAAUUUGAUGCCACUGAUCACGUUAGCUUAUACUUUUGUAUGCCGAGUCGAAAGAGGAAAUUCAUGUUAAUUAUGUUGUCCUUGUUACGAAUUUGUUGGCAUCAUGGCUGUUAGAGCUGCAUAUCCCAUUUACUGAGCUCCCAUGCUAUUUGGAAUUGGUCAGCAUCUGCAGAUAGUGAUGAGCCCAAAGUUUUUUUGGCGAAACCACAAUUGAUGAAGUUAGACUUCACGCCAAGGUGAAGAUUUGUUGAUUAUGGCUCGAAGUUAAUUCCGAUUAUUUUGAAAUUCGAUUUAUAAUUGAAUCGCAAGGAAACUCGGGCCGUAUUAGGAGGACUUUGCCAAUAGGACCGUGGGUGAUGUAAAAAGGAAAAAUAAUUUCCUACAAGACUGCCUUUUUAUAGAAGAUGAAAUCAUGUUGACACCACAUAUGGUCUCAUAUUUUUUUUUGCAUAUAAAUACUCUUGUUGAGUGCAUAGUGAGUGUGUUUAACAUGUGUGAAAAUUUGGGACAGACACAGAGUAUAGAGAGCCAUCAUCUAAGAGAGUGACAGUGUAAUAAAACUCAUUUCUUGUGAUUGAUUCUUAUGGGUUUUUGGUUUUAUUUUGGAUUGGAAAACACUUAUGAUUCUAAUCUCCUCUUUGCCAGUUAUAAUGGAACCAUUUCUUCAAUCUCUCUCCAUAUAGUAGGUGUCAAACCAUUGAGGUUUUAUUUUUGCAAUUUAUUUCUUAUUCAAAUCAUUUUUUUUUUUAACGCUUCCACGUUAGUCGUAAUAAAUCACAUCUUAAAGGUAGAGGUGGCAAUAUGGAUCUCAAAUCCAUUGCCUUUGACCAACAACAAAACCACCAUCAUGACCACUGUGUAGGCAUCAAAAGAUUUCUCUCUAGGCCCUUCGUGCUUGUAUGAUCCGGGCAUGCAUAUGUGUGAGUUACGACUCAUGCUUUUUUUCUUCAUUGUGUUGGGUUGAUAUUAGAACCUGGAAGAUUGUGGGAACGAGAUGUUUGGUAACAACGACAACAGUGAAAACUGCCUUGUUGACAAAGAUCCAAGCCUGAGCUAUGAUGGUGAGAAUCUCAACAGGGAGCAGCAGUUCAGUUUGAUGCGGUUGACUAUGGACGCCAUUGCAAACUGAAUUUGUGUCCUAGGGCUGGAGUGAAGCCUAGGUGGGGACAAAGAAGAAGUGCUGUGGGAAAAUUGAACCCAAGUCCAACCAUUCGACGAACCUAUAACAGCAAUACAAAGUAAUGGGAUGUCCUGUUUAUCCGAAGACUUAAUGUUCAAGCGAACAGGAUCUUGAGGAGUUUGAGGGGCAUAAACAGUGCGUUGGUAGCCACAGAAAGGCGUGGAGGUGAUGGUCACGAUUAUUAUGACAGACGAAUGGUUGACAUGGUGGAGCCUGUCGUGGAUAUCACCACCAAGAAUUGUAACCAUUACCAUUGUCACAGAGAAUUCCAUGAAUUCCCUGCAAGGUUCCUUAUCUAAUGGAUUUUUGAACCUGAAAGAUUUUAAUGUAGAUGUAGGUCAUCUUUGGCAUUGCGUGUAUAUUUCCAAAGAUCGACAAGCAAACCUCUUAGCUUGUACAUUGAAGGGAAAUGCAUUUUAUUUUUGUGGGAUCAAGUUCAGGUUGAGUGGAAAAGAGCAGGUGAAGCGCCGAUUAGAACGUGGCAUAAAAUGUGAAAUCUGUUAAGGCGACGAUUUUCAUGGAUUGAUGAUCAAGCUGAACAAGCCAGCUUCAUGUUAUCCUCGAUAACAACCAUAAAAGGAUCGAUAAUUUCCGUUGAUAAGGUGGUUGUUGAGCCUCCGGAGCAAGAACUAGAAGUUUUUUAAUUUCCUUUUCAAGGAGGAGGAUUUUGAGCUUUGAAGAAUAAUCUCAGGAUGAGCAUGUCUUCCAUGACGAUGGAGAGAUGAUUUUAGAGAAAAACCCCACCCAUGUUGAUCUGAAUUCAUGUACAUACGAGAAUUCUAUUGUUUGGUCGGAAGAUACAUAUGAAGUUUGGGUGAAGAAAAUUGAAUCGACAGAAAAUGUAAAGAAGAACAGAAGAACAAAAAUUUAUGUCACUAUGACAGGCAAUUGGAAAAAUCAAUUGAUGGAUUGACCUUGCAGUUUGGUUGGGAUCUUUUCGUGAAGCAAGAAAUUUUGAUUGAUUUUGCAAAUACAGUUCCAAAUUUCUAUAGGAUUAUAGUACAUAUGCUUGACUAGAUAAUUCAACAAUUUAAAAACUCGAGGUCGAGCUUUUUUUUCUAAUAAAGGGGAAAUGAUGCGGGAAGCCUUAAGUUUGGAUUUAGUCUUUUAUUUGAUGAAUUUAGGACAUUGAAGUCUGAUAUUUCCUUCUUUACUUAAGUUGGUUGAGGAUAUUCACUCAAUAUAUAAUAUUUGAGUUUAUUGUUUCUACUAUUGUAACUUCAUUAAAUGAGUUGAUAAAUUUUAUUUUUUAUUGGAAGAUACCAUAGGAUCUAGUUGAAUUUUUAGGUUUAGCUAGACAUUUGUUAUAUUCUCUGUAUUUCUUUUUCGGUUUUUUUAUCUUGUAAUAAUUUUUAAAGAAAGGGUUGCAACUGUAGUUAGUUGUUAUGUUUUACAGGAUCAUGCAUUUAGCCUCUUUCUAGAAAUAAAAACCCUAAAGAGAUUUCCGUCCAUGGGUAUUGUGUGUGUACGCUUCGGGCAUUCGUGUUUGCGAGCUGCCACUUGGUGCUUUUUGUUUCCAUUGCAACGAUGUUUAAUUAGGGGGGAAAAAUGCUACACGAAGUCUCGACUUCAAGCAAGAAUAAAGGCCUCUCAGGAUCAAGGAAUUAAUAGAUGAAUUUAUUACAUGCAACUAAUAAGGAGAGUCUUGUUCUUGCAAACCUCAAGACUAGAGACAUACAUGAUAUGCAUACGCGAGAAGAAUACUUAAAGAGUAUAUAAUACUUGCAAACUAUUUCUCUGCUGGAUAAGAACUCCCUUGGGGGAAGGUGAGAAGGUCGAACCCCAGUGGAAGCAUCGGCGUCUUAAAAGUGACGCCGGGAUGGUGGGUCCUCCGCUAGCGUCACUCCAAAGUUUACCCAACGGCUACCGGCUGACGGAGUUCCUGGAUAUCAAAAAAAAAAAAAAAAACUAUUUCCGAUCCUUCAAUUCUAGCAAGUCGCCGACGCGUCUCCCUGUGGCAUCGCUUUGGAGUCGGAUUUUGUAUUUGUAAAAGUUCAACCACAAGAUCACGGGGACCACCAACACGACACCCAGCAUGCUCAUGUACAAUGUCAUUAUGAGAAGUCCUGCGACUACAUCGGAUUUCGGGAAUGCGAUUGUAGCGGUAGCACAGUAGACAUCACUGAGAAUCAGCAUUAGCAAGUAAACCGGGAGAGUGUGGGGCAAUAGGGGAAUAGCGGUGAUCCAGAUUGUGAUGAUGGAGACCAAAAACGCCGUACUGUUGAGGGCCGUGAACUCAUAUAGUUUCGAACCGUUCAGGAUAAUGUCUCCGGCUUUAUGUGGUUUUUCAACAGCAAUGCCGCUGGAAUUGGUAACGACAGUGGAAUUGGAAGAGUUAUCCUGCCAGUAUCCUCCAGGAGGACUCAGCGCGGCCUGGUAAGUGAUAGUCAUAAUUAAGGUAGCUAGUACAAGGAUUAUGUUCCGAGCAGACUCAUCUCGGAGGACAAACCAAAUUUUGAACUUCUCAAAGACGGUUGGUUCCAUGCUUAAAAACUGUGAUAGAGGGAAGUUGCCAGUAGGAGGUCUUGACGCAGGUGCUCCCCGGAAUAACUUUUUUUCAAUCAACUGGUAGAUUUUCAGAGGUACUUUGAAAUUCCCAAUCAACAGGUCAACGAUCUGGAAGAAAUGCAAAGGGCACACAAUGAACUAUACAUGCCUUGAAUUUUAUUCACUGCUUUGUCACUACUUUUACUAUUGUGCACAAAGUCAGCUCAUGCCAUGCAAGUUUGAGGAGAUAAUAACACCACGAGUGAUAACUUUCAUACAACACUCGCUUGAGGGUCAUAAUUUUUUUUUCCGAUCACUUGAGUGCCAUAGAAGUGUUGGAAAUCCGACAUGGCAUGAUCGUUAUGAUGAACAUCUUUUACAAUGUUAUGAUAUUCAAGUAAUCGAUUGAAAAAUUAUAUGACACUCAAGUGAUCUAACAAAAUAGUUAUGUCAUUCAAGUAAGUGCCAUACAAAAGUUACAUAGCUCAAGUGAUCAUGAACAAAAAGUUGUGGCCUUUAAGUGAGCGCUGUACGAAAGUUAUGACACUUGUUAUCUCCUUUUCCCUAAGCUUGAGUGAUAUUCAUGAUGCAAUGACCGACAUACUAUGGGAACAAGUUUACUAAAACUUAUUUAUAUAAUCCAAUCAUUUCAACCCAUAAAGUGAAGUCUCACUUGUUUUCAAAAAGUGUGAUCUAGUCAUCUCACCCGAAAUUAUAUAUAUGAUAGCUAGGAAUUGCUUGCAUGACUUGUAACAUAAGCAAACUCACAGAAGUGCUAACCUGAUGCACUAUGAUUUUUCAUAGAAGUUUAGGACUUGGUCAAGUAAACUAAAAGGUUUAUGACUCAAUUUAAUUUCGGACAUGAGUCUUGUUGCUAUGAAGAGCAAGACUACCUUAGAUAUGUGUGUUUAUAUCCUUUAUUCAUAAAAUUCAACUAGUCGGGGAGUAAUUUUCCCAUUCACAAAUUGAUUAUUUUUAUGGUUGUGUUGAAUUGUCCUUGUUAACUUCCAUUUUACUAGCUUGAAUGAAUAUGUUCGGAUGGACUGAUUUUGAAUGGAGGAAAGAGAUUUUGCUAAUCAGUAAGAAAAACAAAAUACCGCAAAAGGAUGAAUUCACUGUUGUGUAAGGUAGGGGUGUAUUAUUAUGGAAAGAGUUGGAAGAGAGGUAUUCAUCCAAAACCAUUCAGCUUAGAGAGAGACCUAGAGCUCACUAAAAACUGAGUUUUACAGGGGUCCCAAGGGAAACGAUUUUGAUUGUACAUUUUCUCGCCAAUAAAUAAACUGUAAGCAAGGAGAUCUCUAUAUCACUCCCUUGUUUCCCUUCCAAUUUCUCAAUAUCCUCCAACCAAAACAGUGUUAGGCCAAUCAAAAUGAACUCAACGUAGAAGCAUUACGAGCUUAAAAUAGUUUUCUCACUAGCAGCUCUCGAAAUGAAACUAUGGGCUUUUUUUGAUAAAUCUGAAAAACAAGCGUUAGCAUAGGUAAUCUUAGGCGUUGAAAAUAGAAGUAAAAAAUUGUUUGAUAAUAGUUAAAAGUACAUCACUGAAUAUCGUUAAUUUCUUUCCAAACAAGGAAAUGGGAUUACUACGGAUAGGUUUUAACAAUAUAAUUGUGAAGAUUCUAUUUACUAUCCAUUUCAAGGAAUACUAGGUUAAGUGAGUAUUUUGACUAUAUUGAAUCUUUUAAGUCAAAUACUAAUUAAAAUUGUCUUACAAGUUUAAUAUCAUUCAGUGUUUAAUUUUUAAUUUCCAACGCUUAAUUGGGUUUUCAUAGAGGCCCAAAUGUGACUAAUAAAUUAAAAAUUAAUAAUAAUAAAUAAUCUACUACUAAUUUAGAGAGAAAUAAAAUGAUUAGAGUAAUCACUAAGUAAACGAGAAUGGAUCAACCUGUGAAAACUAUACUCAUUAUGAGAGUGAAGCCUACCCCCUCGUCAUGUCCAUCCCUCCCAAUCCCUUUCCUUCUCUCCAUAGAAAACAAACAAACAAAUAAACAAACAAGGUGAUCCCGUUCAAAUAUUCUCUCUCUGAAUGUUUCUAACGUCACGUAUUUUCAACUUCUGGCAUUUCAUUAUCGUAACAUUUGUUCCUAGACUAGAGAACGUCGAAUUCAAGGAUCGAACAAUAAAAGCAUAAACAAUCGUGAAAUCGAUGAACUAUACCUCAGGUUGCGGCUCUUUGGUUGAAGCAAUAUUAUAGACGGUGUUACCAUCUUGGUCUUUCCAAUCCAAGAUUUCUGUUAGAUGGACUCGCUUAAGCCAUCUAAACAAAACCUUGAAUGCUUUGAGGUUGUGGCUAUUGACGGCAACAUGAACCGCAGUCUCGCAUUUGCUUGUCAAGUCUUCGAUGGAUGAUUUGCAAGCACAUAGGAAUUCAGCUAGGAGCUCCAGCUCAUUGUCUCCUUCCUUCCGGGCGACGUAAUGCAAAGGGGUGAACCCGCAUUGUCCUCGAACUCGGACCAACUCUGGAUCAAGGGUCAUUAGUGCCCUUACGGUGUGAUAUUGCUCUCGUUGCAAAGCCAAGUGCAUGGGGCUAUACCCUUCCGGAUUUAGCUCCCGAGCAAACGAUGGCCUCAAGAUGGCUAUCUCCAUGGCCACUUGGGUUUUGCCGGCUUCGGCGGCAAAAUGUAGAGGAGUAUCUGGGAAGGGAUGCUUAGAUACAUGAUCUAAGAGCGCUCGCUCCUCCACAAGUAACUUAUGUAGCUUAGCAACAUCAUCCUUUUCUAUUGCUAAUCGAAGCAUAGACUCCCUAGCCUCUUGUUCUUCUUUUUCGGCUAGACUCUUGCCCAUCGUGUUAAAAGGGAAAUGUAGGACAAGAGGGGGUUUGCUUGUUGAUGAUGGAUAGAUGGAAGUAGGAGUAGCGAACUUACAGAAUCAUAUAUAGUGCCAUCGUCCACGCAAAUUUGAUAAGGUGUGUCAUUGUUUAUGAUUUAUCACGUAGGAACAAUUUGAUUGGUUGGGGGAUCUUUUCCUAUCAAAGAACUUACAUGCGAAGUAACGCAAAGCCUGAGCCAAGUCAGCAAGAUUAUUUAUAUUAAUCGAAGAAGUCUAAUUAAUCCUAGCCCAGUAAUUUGCGGUCUGAUCUUUUUGUUUUUUAUAUCGUUGCAUGUCAUUUCUCCACAACUACAUGAUAUUGUGGGGAGUAGCAACAGAGGCUGUCUGGAUAAAUCACAACUACACCCACCCGGUUUGCAAAGAUGGUAUCUACUUAAAACUGUGGGAAGCAUAAGAAUUGCUUAAAUUCCACUUAUGGCGAACUCAAUAAUCUGAUUAGAAGUUAGGAAAACUUUAAAUCUUCAAUUGACCAAAUGCCCAAACUUAAGCCCUUUUUCUACACUUAUCCCCAUUUUUGUCAAGAAGAUUAAAUCAAUAUCUAUAAAUUGGUGAGUCAUUAGCGGGUUCUUCAUCACUUAUUCCUUUGCAAUUUGCAAUUGAGUUUUCCAUAAUUAUAAAUCAGACAGAUACUAUUAGGAGUGAGCAAUCCAGCUGGAACAAUCCGCGAACCAACCUGAACCAGCCUUAUCGGUUGCAAGCUGGUUCACAUAGGGCUCAGUUUGAUUUCCGGAUAAAAAGAUUGGGAACCAAUCUUAAUCAAUUCAGUUCCCAAUUCUAUACCUUGAACCAAUUGAUUUUACCGAAAAACCGACCUUGCAAGACAAAGUUCUAGGAUUCAGCCGGUUCACUACUGAUCACAAAUUAAUCUUUGUUCUCUUUUAUCAGAUUCUCUCUCUCUCUCUCUCUCUCUCUCUCUGAGAGAUUGGUCAAGUCUCUUUGACGCCGAGCGACUGCCCCUCUUCAGUGGCUCGAUCUCGACUUCGUUCGCGAUUGGCCACUCUUUUCUCCACUCCGAGUUACUCUCUAGGUUGGUGUUGUUUUUGAUUUCUUCGUGGAACGGUGUCUGAGCUAAAUUUCCUCCCCCAUCUAUGAGAUAAUCCCCUGACUCCCUGUGAGGAGCACUAGGGUGGUGGGGUAAGGUCAUGAUUUUAUUCGGUCAGUGGUGAUGCCUUGUGCAUAAAGGUUUUCUGGAUUAUAGCAUUAAAGCUGAAUAACUCUUGCCACUUAAAACAAUGACUUUUGACGAGUGAAAAUAGGGUUUUCUUACCAAAAAAGCCAAAAAGCGUGACCAAAAUGGCUAUUCUUUUGAAGUUGGGUCUUUCUUUAUGAUUUAUUCCGUACAAACAAUUAAAGUGGUUUGGGGGGGGGGGGGGUCUUUCCAUGUCAGACGACUUGCAUGCGAAGAUUCCUAACCCGUGAUCCAAGAUACUUCAGAUUAAUCGAAGAAGUCUAGAUAAUCUUGGCCACUAAGGUUUUGUUUUGGCCACUUGAAAGACUUAAAAUUAAGAAAAAGACUCCAAUCAGAGGUGGAGUUUGCGAUCGAUUGAAUUCCAGCAUUGAAAUUCUCAUCAUCCUCACGGUUUAAGUAAUUACGGCCUUCGCCUACCAGAGCGAGUGUAGUUGUGAUUUAUCAAGAUAGCCUCAUAUGCUACCCCCCACAGCUUCAUGUAGCAAAAGAGAAAUGGAAAAUUGUCCAAAAAUCAUUAACUUAUUGUACGACGGCCAAUUUAAAUAUCUUUAAAAAAAUUACAAAAAUUGUUCACAUUGACGUUGGUAAGAAAGACCGAAUUGGUAAGAAAGACCGAAUUGACAAAUACUGAAAAUGUAUAGGACUAAAUUGAUAAAAUUAAAAAGUUUAUAACUAAAUUGAAUCUUUAUAGUAUGUUUAAGACUUUUUUGAUAAUUUCUGGGAGAAGUGACACUAAACGAUACUAAAAGAAAAAAGAGAAUCAGAUUAUAAAUUAUUCCCUUAGAAUUAAUUAGACUUCUUCAAUUAAUUUAUUAUACCUUUUGUCUUUUAGCAUAUUGUAUUCGAGAUAUCUGUCUGCAUUUGUGUAAAUAAAAUAAAAUAAAAUAAUCAAACAAUCAAUUAUUAAUUGACCUAUGAAUUUUAAAAAGGAAUGCAUGUGGAACCGCAUGCAAAAAGGCUUCCUUUUUCUCUUUCCUUUUUUCCCGAAUGCUCUGAAGGCCCGAGAAUUAUAAAGCCCAAGGAUGACAGGAGACUGAAAAUGAGUUUUGUAUAUCCAUGUCAUUUACAAGACAAACUAUUUCUUGUAUUCUCUGCUGGCUUUGGUGUUUGCCUUGCAAUAUGUCGGCUCCUCUUUGUAUUUUUACUAUGCUAUCAUGUAUACAAUGGAUGUGUUACCAUGUCUUUCUCCCGUUAUGAAGACGCAAAAGGUAAUCUACUUUGCAUACUUGACUAAUUAAAAGCAUCUUCAGUCUUGACUACUGAUUUAUCUCCCAAAAAAAAAAAAAAAAACCAAAUAGAAAAAUCUUGACUACUGGCAAAGCUCAGGAUCUGGGUUUAUAAAUAUGGGAGUUCCCGUUAAGACCAUCUACAGGCUUUAUAGUAUUGAUAGCUAACAAAAAGACAGCAUAAAGUCCUUAGGUAAAGCCAACUCGAUGUUUUCUGUAUGAGCACCACAUGAAUAUCUCUUAUAGUUCCUUGAUCAUAACGUGGAUGAUUUAUUUCAAAUUGAAAUGAUAGAAGUAGAUUUAGUUUGGCGCACAAAAGCCGACUUAUGAUAGUAACUAAUUACAAUAUGAUAUGUAUGUUCAUAGUUUUAUUAACCUCCUUUUUUCCUUCUUUAUUUUUUUGGGGUCACUACUAAACUUUAGAAAUCUUAGGAGAGGAAAUGGGGUUUGUUUGCUGAUUCCACCGGACCACUUUUUCAUAUUCAGAUUUCCUGCAUCAAAAAAGCAUAUCUUAUGUUCGUGUCCACAAGCAUCGUGGUCCAUACCCUAGGGCAUUUCCGAGAGAGAUUCUUUAGGUCAUUGCUAGAGAUCUUCCAUGUCAAGGCAAAUUAAAAUUGUUUGUUUUAUUAUGAUUCCUUUUUUUUAGAAGAUACUCAUGUAAAUAAAUUUUAAACAGAUUAUGAUACUGAAAUAUCUGGAUAUGUUUCCGUCAAUUUAAACUUGUAAAGAGCUACUUAUGAAUAUCGUCGAAAGAAAUCCAAAUUAAAAGGUUUGUGGAUGUGGAAGUUACGAAUGCUAGGUCAGACCUGAGAUAGAGGCGUAAAUUAGAGUCAAGUUUUUCAUUUGUGUGUCGUUCCAUUACACAUUAAAAAAACUCAACCUAAAUUAACGCCCCCCACACCCCCCCCCCCCACCCCCCUUCCCACACCAACACGGCUCUGUCUCUGUGUGUGUGUGUGUGUGUGUGUGUGUGUGUGUGUGUGUGUGUGUGUGUGUGCGUGUGUGUCUGUAGUGUGCAUGUGUGGACUGGGAGGAGAGGGUAAAGGCCGUGAUUCGAUCGGGAGAGGAGGAAGGGGGUCACACGUUGAUACUGCCUCAUUGACAAAGAUGGGGGCCUGAGCUAUGAUGGCGAGCAUCUCAACAAAACUGGAGAAGCAAUUCGGUUUGAUGCGGUUGGCCAUGUGUUGGCGAAUGAAGCCAUAUUACUAUUAAGGGCCUUUGUUGUUUUUUCCAUUAAUUUUGCUUCUAAGUUAAAAGUGCCUCUGUGCAGAAACGUAGUCUAAAUUUGGGUGAAAUUUGAUAACAAAUUUUCUAGUGUGUUCUUUCGAUUCAGUUUUUUUAUUUAUUAUUAUAUUUUGUCUAAGUGAAUUGAUUACUUGCGCUAUUUUUCGGAAUUAAUGUGUGAUUCCUAACACUAUGGACGCCAUUGCGAUCUGACUUUGAGUCCUAGGGCUGGAGAGAUGCCUCGGUGGAGACAAAUAAAUAGUGCCGUGGGAAAAUUGAGCCCAGGACCAACCAUUCGAUGAACCAACUUCGGCGGUCCAAGUUAAUGGGAUGUCCUGUUUAUCCAAAGGCUUCAUAUUCGAGCGAAAAGAAUUUCUAGGAGUUCGACCGGCAUAAACAGUACGCUGGUCGCCACAGACGGCGUGGAUGUGAUGGCCCGUGAUUAUUGCGACAGACCAAAGAUCGACAUAGUGGAGCCUGUCAUGGAGAUCACCACCAAGAAUUGUAACUAUUACCAUUGUCUCAGAGAAUUCCAUGAAUUCCUCGCAAGAUUCCUUAUUUAAUGGAUCUUUUAACCCCGAAAGAUUUUCUUGCAGCUGUAGAUCAUCUUUUGGACUGUACGUCGACAAGCAAAUCUCUUAGCUUUGUUGUUUGAAGGGAGAUGCUCUUUAUUUUCGUGGGAUCAAGUGCAGGUUGAGCGAAAAAUAACAAGUCGAUUAGAACAUGGCAUAGAACGUGAAUUCUGUUAAGGUGGCGAUUUUCAUGGAUUGAUGAUCAAGCUAAACAAGCCAGCAUCUUAUCGUCCUCGAUGACAACAACCAAAAAAUGAGCGGCACUUCUUUAAUUUCCGUUGAUACGGUUGUCGCUGAGCUCAAAAGCAAUAAGUCAAGUUUUCGAAUUCCCUUUUCAAGAAGGGGAUUUGGAGGAUCUUGAGCUUGAAGAAAAAUCUCAAGGUGAGCAUGUCUUCCAUGACGAUGGAGAAAUGAUUUUAGAGGAUAGCCCCUGCCAUGUUGAUUUGGAUAUAGAUACAAGAUUUGGGCAGAGAAAUUUGAAGUGACAGAAAAUGGAAAGAAGAACAGAAGAACAAAAAUUGAUUUAAUUAUGACAAGCAAUUAGAAUAAUCAAUUGACGGAUCGAUCUCGGUUGGGAUCUUUUCUUCAAGCAAGAAAUCGUGAUUGAUGCUACGGAUAUGGUUCCAAAUCCCAAUAGGAUUUUAGCACAUAUGCUUUAUUAGAUGACCCGACAUUUCAAAAACUCCAGGUCAGCUUUUUCUUCUAAUUAAAGAGAAAUGGUGUAGUAUCCCUUAAGUGCGGAUUUCCAUUUUUAAUUUAUUUUAUGAAUAUAGGAUAUUGAAGUAUGAUAUCUCCUUUGAUUAAGUUGAUAUAGGAUAUUCGCGUAGUAUAUAAUAUUUGAGUUUAUUGCUUCUAUCAUUUUUAUUUUUUAAAUGAGUUGAUAUAUAUUAUUUUUUAUUGGAAGAUACCAUAGGACCUAGUUGUAUUCUCUUUUUUUUUUCAGGUUUAACUAGGCUUUGUUAUAUUCUCAGUAUUUCUCUUUCGGUUACUUUAUUUAGUAAUAAUUUUUAGAGAAAGUGUUGCAACUGUAUUAAUUUGUUAUGUUUUAUAGGAUCAUGCAGUUUACCUCUUUCUAGAAAUUAAAAAAAAAAAAACAUAAAGAGAUUUCUGUCCGUGAGUCUUUUGCAAGGAAGAAUUGAACCAUGUUAGUCCAAUAAAGUUAUUCGAAAUGGAAUGAGAGUGAGCGAUUUG